CGAAAUUGAUCAAUAUUAUUUAAUGGUCCCACAUGAAAAUAGCCUUUCCAGCAAGUCCAUUCAAUUUUCACAAGACAUCCAACCAUAUCCUCAAGGAUGACCUCCCACCACACAAUCCUUGUACCACCUUAUCUCAUAUAUAGAUAGGAAUGAUCAACACUUACAGAAGUAUAUAUUAAGCAAGCAUGAACAGUAAGUAAAUAUAAAGCUGAAAGCAAAGAGCAUAGGUAUUAUUAAAAGUGGUGGCGUUUACAUGGCCACCAACGAUUAAAACAUCCGACGAUGAUGAUACACCAUAUCCUCAUACAAUAUUCCAUUGCAUUACUCCAUCGGAGACUUCGAAUAAGCAAAGAAAAAACAAAAAACAGACACAAAAAAUAAAAUUCCACAAGGGUCCUAAACAUGAGAGUGAAAAAACAUGGACAUCAAAUAUUGCGGAAACAGGAUCAGCUGGGCUUGUAGGCAAUGAAAGCGAUGCAUUGCACUUGGCGGUUAUUGUCGAAUCCGAUGAUUCGGAUGUGGGCGUCAGGGUACGCGGUCCUGGCUUCUUGCACCUCCUUAAUCACCUGGGCUGAGUCAGUGCACCCGAACAUGGGCAGCUUCCACAUGGUCCAGUACCUUCCGUCGUAGUAUCCUGGCGAUCUGUUGUGCUCUCUGUGGGGGUAUGGGUACUGCAUUCACAUACAAAAUAAUAAUCCAAUUAUUCUACAAAUUAAACCUCUAUAAUCCUAGUUUAAAAGCUUCACAGAAAAGUUCAUGAAAAUAACCAGCUUGGUGAAUUCCAAGCAAGGAAUCCAUUUCAUGCGGAGAAGGUAAUCCACUUCCUUGCAUAGCUGUUCGUCGUUGAGGGGUGGGAGGUAUGAGAGAGUCUCGAACUUCAUCAACCCUUCUGUAGGCCAAACCUGUGGUUUUCACAUGUACAAUAUCCACAGUUUAAUUCAUCAUAUAUAAAAAAAUAAAAAAUAAAAAAAACCCAGACUACUAAUGUCUUCUAAUUGAAGUGAAGUUGUGACUUGUGAGGCAGGGUGGUGGCAGUACCUUCAUGCAGCGAACUCGGCCACCAUUGCUAGCGACGGAGGUGAUGUCGGUGUUGGCUUUUCGGGUGCCAGGGAAAGUCGACAAAGAUUUGAGUCCGGUGAAGGGGGCCACCAUGUUGGCCUGAGCCGGGGUAGCACGGUUGAUUGUAGCCACGGUGGCGGAGGAGACCAUGGAGGAAGCCAUUUUCGCCUUUUGGGUUUUGCUAACACCACCACUGCCUUGUGAGUUAUGGCUCCUGCUUACCCCAUCCUAUAUAUAAUCCUCCGAGCUUUACUCUCUUCUCUAACUGGCCUCACAUUUGCAUCCAAGGGCUGAGGGUCGAGGGGUCUGGGGUUGGAGGCCUUUGGGCCGUUGGAUGAUACCAGGGGAUGACAUGAAAAUUUCGAUGGCCACAUAUCAGAAUUGGAUGGGUGCCUUAUCGUUAUGGCACCCCUCUCGGAGUGUCGACACGUGUCGACACCUCAUUAACCUUAUCUAACGUUGUGAAGAAGGUGAUUGUGUGAUGUUUUCUGGCCCUUCGUUUCUGGGGUGACUGCCGCUCUUCGCCCAUGGAUAUUUGGAGUUUUGUUCAAUUACCUAAUUGCCCAUCUGGGAUUUUUUUUCAAAUAUUAUUUUUUUAUUAUUAUUAUCAUGUUUUUUUUAAGUGAUGCGAUGAGGUAUGGAGGUACCAUGAUAAGUAAUGGUGUGACUGCAAGCCAUCAGAUCAGAGGGUCCCCCACUUGGAAUAUUGCUCCAAUUCUACGACUAGGUGACUAACACUCAGCAGCCCUUUAAGCGGAGGAAGAAAUGUGACAGUUUCUAUAAGUGGAGGAAGUCUGAAUUCUGAAAGGCAUCGAUAAGGCCUUAAAACGUAUCUAUUGAAGGCAUAAAUCACUAUGUUCUCUUUUGGCUUACCCCAAAAAAAAACACACAUUCCCUGAUUCAUGUAUUCUUACUUCUCAAAGUCCUCAUUUUGGACUAUUUUACAGGCUUUCUUCCUAGAAUUUCAAAUUCAAAUUCAAAUUCAAAUUCAAGAUCAUAAAGAAGCCUCCACCACUCAAGGUUUAUCUUCUCUCCUAAAGGGAGAUGAUAUUUUGCCAUACAAAGGUUUCAGGACCUCCAAAAGAAAACGGUACUAAUUUUGUGUAAUUUCAGUAUGCUUAUGAGUUACGACUCAACUCAAGUCCCGGUUGGUGAGCAUCACUUCUAAAAAUGUAGUGUUGGGUCAAUUUGUUAGGUGGACCAUCACUUCUCCACAGAAACUUCUAGCUCUUCUCUGCACUUGUGGCCUCUAUUCUUUCAUAUAAGAUGUAAAUAUUCUCACUAAAUAAACCCAAAAGAAAAAAGAGAGAAAAAAGAUUGGUGGAGGUUGUUUUGGAGGAGGGAUCCCUGUGAUCCACAUGUAACAAUCAAGGUUUCCAUUCAAGUUGAUGGAUAGGCCUGUGUGCUAUAACAAAAUCUUGUGCAACUCCACCACAAAUUCUCCAAAUCAAAUCCCACUGUCAAGCCAAGCAACAUGCUCCAGAAAGCGAAUUCUGAAACCUUUUCUAGAUCAGUGACAACAGAUGUGUUUGUGUUUCUUGUUUCAAUGGAGAAGCCAAAGCCUCUUUAAGACGUAUUAGUGCUGUGACAGGAAAAAUAAACUCAUGUUUUGAUCUUGUAGAAGAGAUUGAAAAUGCAUGAUGUAUUGUUUAUAAUGCUGGUGUAAAUAAUGAAACUGUUAGAAAGGGAUUGUAGGGAAAUUGCUUGUGUUGAAGAUGAUCCUUUGAAAUCAUAGUUUCUGCCUUACCUUCAGCUUCAGGCUAAACCCACAGGCAAAAAUGGCAAGAGGAACCUUCUAACACUCAUUUUCUCCCAUCUGCAUUGGGAGGGUAAUACCAAAAACUAAUUUAUGCGGAUUAAGACUGAUUGCGAGAGGAAUAUGACAUUCAACAGGGAAUACAAAAAUCAUAAACUGAAAAGUUUGUUUAUUAAAUCCAAUUAAAUAUGACAUUGCCCACCACGAAAAGCAGUGGAAUACGAAGAAUGACUUCCAAUAGAGGAGCUUCUGUACAGUUAUAAGCAGGAAAAAAAGAAAGAAAAGAGAAAAGAAUUACAUGGAAGUAGUGAAGUACAAACUGCAUAACCAGGAAAAAAUAUGCAACUGACUUCCUUCUAAUUUACUGCCAUCGCCUAGGAGGCUUGGUGAAAGUAGAGCUUCCAGUGCCACUGAUAGUAGCACUUCUUCUCAUUCCUGAGAAGAGCAGUUACAGGGAAAGAUAAGAGAUUGAAGGAAUAUUAUUAGCAAGUAGCAAUUGAUCCCAAAAACUCUAAUAUUUUACAUACCUGUUGCCGCCUUUGGAGAAUCCUUAAGAUGUGAUGGUGGAGGAGAUGAAGUUCGCAAUGUUCUUUGCGGUGGUCUUGUUAUUCUAGAGGCUGGUUUAGACCUGUACAAAAUAAUUUUAGUUCAGGUUUUGGACUUGGAUUCAAUUCCAUCAGUAUACAAGUCCAUAUCAAAAAGCCCCAAAAGUAAUCUCUACAUAUAGACAAAAUCAAGCAACAAAAUGCAGUAGGCUGCUGCUUUGGACUAGCUCAUUACAAGAACAGAAAAUUAUUUCACCCAAGUCAGGGGUAAAGAAUGGUUUGAUAUCUCAUGAUGGGAGAAUUAGUACCCACAUUGGUCAAGGUCCCAAGUUGAAGGGAGACAUAAAAUGGAUAUUACCACAGCAAAUUAUCAACACAACCAUUACUUUCCAAAAAAAGAUUUUGCAUAAAUAAAAUGAAUUAAAUGUAGUAGCAGACCAACUGAUAGAGCAUUCAGUUUUUUAAUAAUGAAGAAAAUUAAAACAGAAAAUUCAAGCUCUCUUUUGCAAUUUUCAUAUGUUUUACUCACAGAUGAAUCUUUGUAUCAACACCCAAAGACUGAAGUAAAGAAGAAAAAUACUCACUUCUCUGUGGUCUCUGAUGCUUUAGAUUGAGCAGGGCCAUUAUUUUCUGUUCGCAUAGGAAAACCACCAUCAGAUGUAUCACUUGAUCUCUCGUCACAAUCUGUCUCCCCAAAUCCUAAGGUCGAAGCAUCUGCAGGAUUAUUCUGACCUAUGUCCCCACCGGCAAGCUUUGAUUUCCGAAGGGAUUCAUUUGGUUGUUUAAAGUCUUCCAUGGACUGCUGGGAAUCAGCAUCAGAAUGCUUAUCACUGUAUUCUGAACUGUUGUCCUGAUCAGAAGCUGCUCUCUCAGCUGGUCCUAAGCCUUUCCCACCUGGUAGUUUCUGGCUUAGUUGAGCAGUCCCACCCACGAAAUUCCUGCUUGGUGGGGAAGAUCCAUACUUAAACGAACCUGUAACACUUCUCUCACAGUUGAGACCAGGAUGUACAUUUUUGAGAUCUUUAAGUAGUUGCAACCGUUCGAUCUCCUCAUCUUUUUUGGCAAUUGUGUCUUUGAGAGAUGCCACCUGCAGGAUCAAUAAGGUAUUUAGAAAACAAGGAACUACCAGUGCCUUGAAAGAUGAUUACUAGUUUUGAUGUUUAACUAAAAUUGAAAUGAGUAAACAAGCAGGUAUAUUCGGUAUGAAAAGACCUAGAUGGAAAUCAGAUGAUAGAAAAUCCACCUUUUCACAUGUGCACAUAUAUCAGUAAUCAAUCAAAAAGGAGUUCUAAUGUAUAUAAACAAAAGAACAGGGUACAGUGUAUUGCAAGAGCACAGUACAGGGCGUUCAAGACCGUCUUUGAAUGCACCUCAAUAUGAUCACUAGACUCCAAAGCUCAAGAAAAAUGGUGUCCCUCCUCUUAAGCAUAUAGCUCCAGUUAAGUGAUAAAUAGAAAAAUGCAAAAAGCACAUACCUCUCCCAAGUGUUUUCAAAUAUCUCUUUCUUUUCAUCUCCAAGUGUUCCUAUAUUCCUUCUUGUUUUGUGUAUGUACCAUGUAUACACAUAAAGAUAUAUUUGUGUAUUCUGUUUUCAAAACCAAAAGCCAAAAACAUUAUCCCCUCAUUUCCUUAUAGCAAAGGGUCAAUAAUCUCGAACUUAUUUUUUCACCUUCUAAAACAUUGGUGUGGAGGUGACAAAAGCAGGGUCCACAAGGACUCAUUUGUAAAGCAAAUCAAUUAUCUAUGACAAUUUUCCUCCUAGUAAAUUGUUGUUGAACAUAUGAAAGCAGUAGCCCCUAGAAAUCAACUGAUAUUUUAUGUAACCAUGUGACCCGACAACUAGAGGAGUAAGAUCUCAUACAUCCUCAGCAAUUAUUUUGAGAUGAAUGUCUGGAAUUAAAACACAGUCCCUAUUCUGAACGUAAGCUGAAUUGGAUAAUAACUGAAAGAUUGAUUGAUCGCUCUGCAAGUUAAGAAAGAGCAAGGGAAAAGGAAAACAAAAAAAAGAAAAAAAAGAUCUUGAGGUCCACUGAGAAAUUAGACCUACUCAACUACUUGAGUAAACCUUAUAUAUUUCUAUAGUGCUUGCAAUACGUCUUGAAAAGCAUAAAAUUCUAUUUAGCACCAUGGCUAGUAAAUAUUCAACAAACUGCUACUUAAAUGAAUAUGAGAACCUGAUCCAUUAAUUCCUUAACGUCCCUGCCCUCUUUGCUACUCCGUGCAGCACCUAGCUCGACUCCAGAAACCCUCUCAGCAAAUUUCAAAGUACUUGCAGUUUCAGAAAAUGAAUUCACAUCAGGAUUAAGCUGCACAAACAUAAGAGUCUUUGCUUGACCACCUGUAGUUUAUAAAGUAGAAAAUAAAAAUCCGCUAUAUGAAGUUCAAAAAGAGGACUAUUGGGAGCUAAGGAAAUAAUUUAGAGUCCUGACGAAACAAUAAGACAGGUGAAGGGAUUUAUUGCUAAAAGCAACUGGAAAACAGUGAAGUACCAAGAGAACUCUGAAGGACUUGAGUAAGCUUGCUGUUUCUGUAUGGUACAUGAGAGCUCUUCUGGGCAAGAGCAAAGAUAACAUCUCCAAGGGCAGAUAGCGAUUUGUUUAUAUGUUGUGCUUCCCUAAGUCUCUCUCCAGUUACCUCAGAGCGAUCUACCCUUUCACUUCCUGCAAGAUCCACCAAGUGAAGACUGCCACGCAAAGAAGCACCAGUCUUCAAAUCCGUCCCCCAAGCAUGAAUAGUUACAAUACUGCAAUAACACAUCUAAGUGAAGAUCAUAACAUGUAGAACAUAUACAGUCUGAAGAUGGUAAUAUCUAAAAAUGAAAUGACAACCUGUGGGAGCGGCUACUUCUUUCAUUCAUAGCAGUGGCACCUACAGAUCUAUUCUUUUGUCCAAUGUCCAUUAAUUCCAUUACAUCUGAGGUUGAUUUGACUGGGAGCAUGGUAGCAUCAGGAACAGCUAACCCAUGGGGCUGAGAGGUAGUCAAAAUCCCAAGUGUGUGCAAAUUAAGGAAAACAAAGGAUUUCAUGCCAAAACACAUGAAAACUAUUUUUCACUUAAUCAAACCCAAGAAGAAAAAGGCCAAGAUGCAGAAUUAACAAAGAUUUCAAAGAGAAUUAUACCACACCAGACAGAUAAAUCUGGAAAAAUCUAGAAAUGUAACUGGAAGAUUAUAGAGAAAUGUUUUAUGACAGUUAUCUGUCAGACAAAAACUAGUCAAUGGAUUAGGCAGAACAACUCAAAGCGAAAACAGAAGAUGAAAAUGAAUAGAGAAGGAUAUCCUUUUUACAUCUUUAUGCCAAAGAAUGAAAAUGAAUAGAGAAGGAUAUUUUUUUUGAGAACUAUCACUUGAUAGUAAAUCACGCACUUGUUCAUUGUAUAUUUCAACCAUUUGAACUCCAAUUUCAUACAUAAAUGAGCUUCUCCUGCUUUGAGUGAUCUCAAAGAGGUCACUUAGUGCACGAUAAUUGACACCCCAUUCCUCCUUGGAUGCUGCAUUGGGGCCAGUCUAGAGGAAAGACAAUACAUUACACAAGUUUUUAUUGAAAAUAUCAACACAUAUGCCAUGUAGACUAAAACAUAUACAAGUUCAUACCAUUGUGUAUGUCUUGCCCGAACCAGUUUGACCAUAAGCAAAUAUACAUACAUUAUAGCCAUCAAGAACAGAUCGUACCAAGGGUUGAGUGUCAGAAAACACCUCAGCUACAAACAUUUUCCAAGCAUAAUAUGAGUCAAGCAUUAUAAUGAUUUCUUGAAAGAGAUCUAUUCAAGGAUCCAAAUUAUAAAAUAUAAGGAUGAAAAACCUUGAGUAGCAGCUGGGCCAUAGACCUUAUUGAAUUUGAACAACCGAUGACUGUCUUUUCCUUGUUUUGAGGGAUUCACAAUACCGAGCUCCCCAUCUUCACCAAUAUAUUCUAUGGUUGUCUGCUUUCCAUUCUGCCCACGGAGAAAUGGCCUUAUCCGGCAAUACACCCUAAUGUUUCCUAUCCAAGAAAUACAUGCAUCAGCCAAAAGAUGCAUUCAUAUAAAACUAGUCGUGAUUCCAACAGAGUUAAAUUGGGCAUGGAACCUUUUAAAUCUUGAACCUCAUUAUAAAGUCUCCUAUUUUCAGCAAGAACUGCAUGAUAGUUUUCAGAGGCAUCUACUAAUGCUUUUAGCUUUACUCCUGAACAACAGAAAAAUCGAUCUAUGAGAACAUGCUACAUAAAUUUAUAUAGAAUCAGGAGAACUUUGUAGUAACCAACCUCACCUAAGCAUUUAAAAUCCUCUGAAUAGCUCUUCUGUGUUUCCAAUACUUCUUUCUUGAUGGACUCGGAAGUGGACCUCAAUCCCUGAUUGUUUAUUCAAAGUUCCAGUAUAAAACAUGAGCAUUAAAUAGUAUAGUUUGAAAGGUCAAGAUCAAUUUGGUUAAAGCGGACCUGCAAGGCACUGAAUAGAAAAUUCACAAGUCUCAGGUAGCUUUGCUCUUUCUUAUCCCACCUUUGGCCUUCUAACCCAGAAUAAGCCUCAAGUUUAUUUAUCUUAUUCCUUGAAUCGGCUAGGAGCUGCUCAAGUUCCCUUGACCUCUUCUCAAACUCUGCUUUAUCUCCCAUACCUUGCUUUUCCAUUUCUGAGAAAUGUUCUUCAUAUGUCUUCCUGGCUAUUUCCAGUUCUUGCUUCAGAGCAGUAAUUUCGAUAUUAUUUUGAUCCUUCUCUUUGUUGGCUAUUUCAAGUUCUUGCUUCAAAGCUGAAAUUUCAAUGCCACUUUGAUCCUUCUUCUUCUUGGCCAUUUCCAGUUCUUGCCUCAGAACCAAAAUUUUAGAAUCAUUUGGAUCCUUCUCUUUCUUCCUUGCUAUUUCCAGUUCUUGCUUUAAAGCUGAAAGUUCCAGAUGGUAUUGCUCCUUCUCUUUCUUCCGGGCCAUUUCCAUUUCUUGCUUCAGAGAAGAAAUUUCAAGAUUUGUGUCAUCCUUCUCUUUUAUCAGUCUAGCCAUAUCCUCCUCAAGCUUCUUCUUGUCUUCCACAUUGGCCUUUUUAGUCUGAAAUAAAAAGAAAUAAAAUUAAAGACUUCAAAGGUAUCCAUACAACCAAGAAAGCAAUAUUAUUUUUUCUCAGGCAAACAAAAUAUGCACCAUGUCAUCUCAAGCAACUGAUCAACAAUUGCAGCAAAUUAAGAAUAGAAUCAAUUGUGAAUACGCCUUCCACUUCCAUCAUGAAAGGAGAAAUUUGAUAUAUCAGUGGGCAGUCAAACCUCACUAUUUCCAUCCUCAUCUUUAACAUCAUUUAACUUUUGAUUCUUAAUGAACACAAAUCAAGGAUAUCAAACAUAUUAAAGUGGUUGAAAAUUGUGAAAAGAAACACCAGAAUCCAGUAAAUGAAGGAAGAAGCAUUGAGGGAAGGAGAGGAUACCACAGGACUCAAGAUUUUUUUUUUUUUUAUAACCGAAGAACCUUCCAUGGCUAAGCCCUUAGGACUCUCCAUGGGAACUCAAACCUCGGGGUGCUAACCACCCCACAACAACCAGCACCGGGUAAAUUCAGAGUAUCAUCCAUAGUAGGAUUCAAACCCAGGACCAUGUGCAACUUACUAGGACCACACUUCCCAAUGUUCGCCCUAACCAACUAGGCUAUCCUGGCAGGGACCAUAGGACUCACAUAUCUGGCUGCACAUGUUUUCAUGUAAUGUUAACUAAAAUUUUACUAAAUCUUAGACUACCUAAAAGUUGUUUUAUGAAUCCUUUGUUUUAGGUGCAACAAAUUGAACAAUUAUGGGAAGCAAAAAGCAAAAAAUACACAUCGGUAUAUUUUGGAACAGAGAAUAGUCCCUAAAGGAUAUCAGAUACAGGAUGUUUGAAGUAAAAGAUGAAUAACAUAAAAGAGACUUUCUAAUAUCUCAAUUAAGAAAAAUGCUCACAGAUUAUAGCCAUACCUUUAUCUGCUGGAGAUGAUUCAAUACAAUCUGCAGCAAAUAAUUUCAUUUGGUGAAUCCAGUAGUUGUACCAAAUAAACAAAAAGGCAAACCUGACAAUUUAGAAUCUUUCAAUACAACAUAUUUGAAGUACCUGGUUUUCAUCAUUAGUCCCAGUUGCAAGGGUUUCAAGUACUCUGAUUCUCGACUGGUAUUUCUCUUCCCGAGACUUAAAGAGAUUGUUUUGCUGCAGGCACAAACCAAUAGAAAAGAAUUGAUAUGGACUAGACAAUAAAAACCAAUAAAAGAAACAAAGUAAGUAUAUUACAGUUCUUAAGUGUUCUGCUUGAGUUGAUAUUCGCCGCUCAAUUUCCUGCACAACUUUUCUCAAUAGACAUGCCACACGCUGAGGAAAAAAAAACAAAAAAUAAAAAGCAUCCUCAGAUAAGUUUUUUAGCAUUAAAAAUGCAUUUAUAUUAUCAAUAUAUAUAUAUAUAUAUAUAUAUGCCUUAAUUUAACACCAGUUGCCCUCUCAUUGCCAUACGUGAGGUAUCUCUUCAUUCUUCCUUUCAACGCUUUCAUCUAGAAUUCCAUUCACAACACUCAAAAGUGACUGAGUUGGGGCAUUCUGCAAAAAUGAGAUGCUUGAAUGCAUUAAAGAAGCAUAAAACUGAAAAGACCACCUAAAAAAUCCUAAAUCUUGCCCAAUUAUGUCCAUUGACAACAUAAGGUGCCAUAUGACUUACAUCUAAACUGUUAGAUUUCAUCAUUUCUGUAAGCUUAGCAGCAGGAAUAUCCGCAUAGCGUCCUUGUUUCAGUUGAAACACCUCAUGGAACUUGUGUCCCACAUGAUAUAUUAAUGCAGCUGAUGGCUCUACAAAAAGGGGAAAAAGUAAGAUAACAACACUACGUCCAAAUAAAAUUAUCAUUAUUGAAGAGCAUCUGCUAGUUUUGUGUUGUUAGAAUACAAAAAAACUAUCCACUGUCUCAAUAUAGCAGAUCUCACUUCACAACUUCACUAUGGAUAAAAGCUGUUAUCAUAUAUUCAUAUGGCUGCAUUAGAACAGACAAGCACAUAGAGGAAUAGAGUACAAAAAAACCAUACCAGACUUGACAGGACUACGCAAAGCACGUUGAAAUUUGGAUUCUGAAAAACUCUUUUGCCUGUCUUCUCCACAUGGUGUAGGCCCACGCGAAGGAUCAUCCACUUGAGGACCAAUGUUUCCAGAUUUAGAAAAUGAACUACUGAAUGGAAAAUUAUUUCCACAUACAGUUGGUAUAGUGUGUGCUUUAAGUGUUAAAAUGCACUCCAAAACAGUCUUCAUAGAUCCCUGCAACAUAAAAUCAACAUUAUGAUAAAUGCCGAGAGCUCUGGUGAUGCUAAGAAAACAUAUACUCAAAUUCAUUUGAGCAAAUUAAUCAAAAAAAAAUUUGAAAUUCACUACUUCAACUUUGAGAUGUUUGCAAAUUGCUAAGAAAAUAAAUGUAAAUAAACCUACAAUGACUUCAGUGGGAGUACUACUAGUUUGUGUACAUAAUGGAUAGUAAUUCUUAUAAACAAUUGAUAGUAGGUCAUGAAAACAAUUGAUACCUUUUCCAGGUCUGCAAUUUCAAACCCGGGCAUCCCUAAUGCGUCCAAAGCCUCCAGAAACUUUUUAACAUUUUCAUAGCGCAUCCCAGAAGAAUGAUCAUAAUCACGCACCUAAAGUAAAAAAAAAAUGCACAUCAAAACAACAAUUCUAACAUCCAGAGAUGAAAUUCAACACUAACUGCAUCUAAAUGAACAAACCUCACUCACAGAACCAGGUCUCAGUCUGUUCAAAAACCGACAUAAAACAGCACCAUCAAUCAAGCAGGCCCUCAAUUCCUCUACUGAAGCUUUUACUGGCAAAUUUAAAUUAGGAAGCAUGGAAUUUAACCACUCCGCCACAAUGGCUCGCUUCUUGUCUGCAUAAAAGGGAAUGAAAUAAAUACAAAGUUCAGUAAAUUAAGAUGGGAAAAACAAAGGAAGAGAGGAGCAAAAUCACCCUUUCUUCACCUUUAUCAUCAGCAUUAUGAGUUGCCAUUGGUUCAAAAACAUCCCCAUUACCAGAUACUCUGAAACUGCCAAUUCCCCCAUAUUUCUUUGCGUUGUAAUCCAAUGUAGAGUCCAUGAUGAAAUACAAGGGAAGACAUCUAGCUUCAAAGCUCAAAACCUCAAACUACGAAAAAUAAGAAAAAAACCCCCCAGAUUGUUUCAAUAAAAUCCAAAGAAAUCAUUUGCAGGAAGAAGGGAACAAAAAGUUUAUUUAUCUCCAGACUUCCCCAGAAAUGCAACAAUCCUGAAAAGUUAUUAAAAAAAAAAUGUAAUCAUCACCACAACUUUAUUUCACAUUCCCUCAUCAACUCAAUACAUUAAACGAUGUUAUGCAUUAAACCCAUGGUUCAUGCCUGGUAAUGGCAUUAUUUUAAUUUCCAAAGGCAAGAGAAUCAAAUGCUUCUUUUGCAUGGUGAGCACGUAACACAACCCAUUACCAAACACCAACCAACCAUUAAGUCAGAGCUCAAACUCUGACUGGUAGGGAGCCCAAGCAGAAAACGGAAAUACAAAUAUAUUCACCUGCAUGGGUGGAAAAUGAGAGAGACCCAACUCAGAAAAGAUUUCAGCGAUGGCCCCUGGGCUCCUCCUCCAUCUGGUGUAGCUUCAAAAGUUUCAUUGGCAACAAGGAUUUCAAGGAAGAGAAGAGAGGAGAGAAAAUGGUGGAAACAAGAGAAGAAAAAAAGUUUGGAAAAGGCAUAAUGAAUGAAUAAAUAUUACAGAGAGAGGGAAGAAGAUCGAUGGACGGCCGGCCGUUUAAUCCUGGUCAAUCGUGGUUGAAAUGUGUUGAAAUUCAUACGUGGCCACGUACUAUACGGCAAUUAUAUAUUUUUUUUUUAAAUGUAAUAUUAAUAUUUUGAAAGAAAUAUAUUAAUAAAUAAUAAUAAGAUUAUGUUUAAUAUUUGAAUUUAAAACUUAGAGUGUUGAUUUUUGAAAACGUUUCUAGUUUUUUAAUAUUUUAAUAAUAAAAAUUUUAAAAUGUCAUAAAAUCAUUAUUAAACAGGUUCUUAAUUAAGUGAUUAGAGGAGUAUUAAAGGGACUUAAUUUAUUUUGUUGGUUAUAAUUAUUUUUAUAAUAAAAAAUAAUUUAAAAUUUGCCUAGACCAACCAAACUUAACCAAGAUCUAAUUUAAUGUUUUAUAAAUUUUACAAUAUAUUAUUAUUUAUAAUUAUAUAUUUUCAAAUAAUUAUAAAAGAAAAAUGUCAAUUUAAUUGUAUUAUGUAUUAUUUUAUUUUUUUUAAUAAAAAUAAAUUCAUUUUGCAUUUUUAUUAUUCUUAAAAAUAAUGUGUCAUUUGAUAUGAAGUGUAUCAAAAAUAAAAUCAAAAUACUAUCACUAAGUGGAAUUUUCUUUUUUUCCUUUUUUCUUUUACUUUUUUUUUUCUUUUCUUUUUUUUUUUUUUUUGUUAUCACAACGAAAGCUUUGAUGCAAACAUCGUUAAUCAAGAACAAAAGAUAAAAUAAUCAAUAUAAACAGUACACGAGGUUUUAACAUGGUUCGACCAACCAUGCCUACGUCCACGGAUAAGAUAAUCAUUUCACAAUACAAUAAAUAAUAUUACAUGACAGAACCAGAACAUUAGAGAUGACAUAACUAGAUAUAACUAUUGGGUUCUUCAAACAUGUCAUGUUUCCCCACUCUUUGUAUCUCUACCCUACCAUGAGCUCUAUCGCUUCACCAUGUACCUCUUGUUUUUCCUCAUAUCUCUAUUCACCUCAUAUAGUCUUUACAAACUCAUCUUCAAUUCAUAACUUUUUCUCUUUCAUAACCUAGAAUAUUUAUAGACAUAUUUCCAAUAACCUUUCUUAUUUUACAAGGAAGCCUAAUAUCAACCUAAAAAUAUUCUAUAUAAUAUUUUUUUCUACAAAAGAAGAAUAUAUACUAAUUAGGAAUUUGAGACACUUCUUAACAAUCUCCACAUUGGACCAAAUUCCAUAAAGUCAAUCUUCAAUGGCACAAACUUUUUUUUAUUUUUAUACCACGAGAGAGCAAUCAACUCCACCUUCAUUGAAAAUUUCUUUUGUUUUCAUCUUGUGUACUUUGUGAUCUUUUACUUUUCCAGAAAUCUUUAACCUAAGUUUUGAUACCGGUUUGUUGUGUCGGCGAAAGCUUUGAUGCAAUCAUCGUUAAUCAAUAACACAAAGAUAAAAUAAUCAACACAAACGAUAUACUAGGUUUUAAUGUGGUUCAACCAACCAUGUUUAUAUUGACGUAUAAGAAAUGAUUAUUUCACUAUACAAUAGAGAACAUUACAGAUGAUAAAACUAGAAUAUUAUAGAUGAUAUAACCAAAUACAAUUAUUGGGUUCCUGAAACAUCUUAUAUUUUCCCAUUCUUUGUAUCCCUACUCUACCACAAGUCUUCUCGUUCUAUUGGUACCUCUCGUUCUUCCACACAUUUCCCCUUAUGACCUAAAAUAUUUAUAAAAAUAUUUCCAAAGAACCUUCCUUAUUCUAUAAGGAAAUCUAAUAUUACAAUAAUAUAUUAACCUAAAAGUAUUCUAUAUAAUAUUUUUUUUUACAAAAGAGAAAUAUAUAUUAGGAAUUUAGGACACUUCUUAACAAUAUUAAUUUUAAUAUAACUUGAAUUUACCUUAUGUUUGAAAAUAUGAUAUUAUGAUACUAGAUUAAAAUGAAUUGAAAAAAUAUUUAUUAAUUUAGAUUGGGAUCUUCAAUGCAAACCCAACUUAAUCUAAUCUAAAUUCAACCUUAUAAUAGAAUCAAAUUUAAAUUCAUGAAUUUGAAUAGAAGCUAAACUUAAUAUUAAAUUAAAUUAAAGUUUUAUAAUCCAAGCAAUAUCUUUUGUUUACUUUAUACUCUUAAGAAAACAUUAUUUUUUUUUAUCAACUAAAUUUAUUUUCCUAAUAAGCCAUUUUAAUUUCCACAUUGGACCAUGAAAUAAGAUAAAAAAAAAAAAAAUACUCCUUUACGAUAGGACAUUUUGUUAAAAAAUGGUGGUUGUAAAAAUAAUUUGGGUGUAUAAUAGUUUAAAAAAUAUUUUUAAAUGUAUGGCUAAAAUGCCAAUGAAAAAUCGUGUUUUAAAAAGACAACUUGGCUUACAUCACAUUGAAUUUAUCUUUUGUAAAAACCAUUUCAAUAUAAAUUUUAAAAUUUAAAGUUAAAUUUUUUAAAAUAUAACUUUUAUUCAAUACUUUUUCAACUACUUAUUUUAAAAACAAUUAUGUAAAAAUAUAAUAUUUUUUUCCAAAUCCAUGACGUUUAUAACCACACAAGGAAAAUAAUUUUUUUUUUUAAAUAAUCAUAUCAUCAAUUCAACUAAUUUUUAUAAUAAUUCCUAUAAAUUUUUAUAUUUAAUAAAUAGAAACCAUCUGCUUGCGACGUCAAUAUAGAGCAUGGGAUGUGAAAUCAGUUGAUUGAAGGUUUAUAAUAAUUCUCAUAAAUUUUUAUAUCUAAUAAAUAGAAACCAUCUGUUUGUUCGGAGAAUGGAAUGUAGAAUUCAUCAGCUAUUGAUUGUGGUUAUAAAUUUAUCAGAUAUAUAUUAAGUAGGUCAGUGGGUGCAAAACCCCAACUCAAAACUGGUCUAACAGUCCAAAAAUCCCAAUCUCUUAGACAACCUCUGGCUGUGGGAACCUACAUGAAACUUAUAAACAAUCUUUGCUAUAUGUUUUGUUCAGUCUUGGAGAGUUGAGACUUGAUGAAACCCAAUAAUGAUGAAAAUUGGCUUUUCUCCCUGGGCUCAUCUUUAAUCUCAGCACCACAAGCAAAAUUGUAGGCAAACACCCUACACGUAUGAAAAACAAAGAACAAAAAGCCAUAUAAUACUUAAUGAAUUAAUCAGUAAUUAGAAGAUGCUAUCCUUUAUGUUUCCACCAGUAAGCAGACUGAAAAAAGGAUCUUCCUUGUUUUCAUUGUCACUUUUGAUUUCCUCAACAGGGAAAAAGGGUGUGGUAGCUGCUGAUACUGUAGGUCUCUUCACGGAGACAAAAGCCACUUUAUUGCUUGAAUCAAAUUUACGUUUUAAAGGAUUUGAACUCGGAAAUGAGCUUGUGUGUGGAAGCAAGCCUUGUUCUGGGAGGAGAUUCUCAAUAGAGGAUCCUUCAACUUCUGAACCAUUGCUAACUUGCACACUAUCUUCAACCCGCUUCCCAUCAUCACUUUCAAGGGAAGGAUUCACCAGUAGAGAUUUGUCCUCACUGACCAGAGUUGGACCCUCUUCUGAACUGUGGAGCAUGUCUGUCUUCUUGGAGCCAAGUUCAUCAUCUACACAAAAGACAAAUGUUACAGAACUGGGCAAGAGAAAUAGUAGCACCAGAAUACAAAGCAACAGCAAGAAACCAGAGGUUAAGGCAGCUGCAAAUAAAUUAUGAGAAUUGGAAAUACUCAUUUGCAGCAUGCUAGCUUGUUUAGCAACAAAAUAUAUAAAACUAGCACCAAAAAUCCAAUUGACAAGCCUCGAGGAAAUUUUCCAUCCAGUCAAAGUGUCCAAGUUGCAGGAAAUCAAUAGCUUCAGCAUAACAACAGGGCUCUGUUGUUUCAAGAAUAAAUGUUAACUUCCUAAACGUCUCAAAUGGAACCCAACACAGCAUCAUGCCUCUGGAAGCAACUUUUCAUAGCCUCCAGAAAAGUGAGCUCAAGCUUGAAUUCAAGAGGACGAAAUUGAAUCUUCAGCUAUAAACUAAAACAUGAUGUAGCUCACUUUAGCUUCUGUCAAGUCUAUGUCUAAAGUAAAUCAUCAUAUGUCUGAGGAUUAAAUAGAUGGUUAAACAGGAAAAUUGAAUCAUUUUUUACCCUAAUGAAUAUUCUUGAUCAUGAAAUAGAUGGAACCAUUCUUAUCCAAUGGUCAUUGGUAAUGUAUCUGACAUUAAUCAGUACUUAUAAAAAUAUGAUAGAAUAAGUAAAAAUGUUGAAUAUAAUGUAUUUAUAGUAUAUUAUCUUUCCUUGUUAAUAUAGGUCACAUGUAUGGUAGUUAGGACUCCUAGCCUUGUAUAUAUAUAUAUCUCAAUUGUAAGUAGACAUUACAUGAAUGAGAAUUAAGGUUUUUCUCCUUUCUCUCUCUCUCUUUCAACAUGGUAUCAGAGCCAAGGAAGAAAACCUAAUUCUUUCCUGUUUCCCGUGUCAUCAACUCCGGGAAACCUUCCGGUGACUGUGUUUCUUUCCGGUCACCCUCCCCAUCUCCCAACACUUUCCGGUCAGUCGGAUCAUCGUUAGAAACCACUCACCGCCGGCAAAAUUUUCCGGCAAAUUUUCCGGCGAACUUUCCCGGCGACCUAUUUUUCCGACACUGACCAUACCAGAAGGAGCGCCUGGAGGAGAUCUCCAACUUUUGUGAAGGCACCAGCAUCAAAAGAGGAUCCACGCGCCGGCGACUGCAUCUCACGCGCCGGCGACUGCAUCUCACGCGCCGGCGCGUGAGGGCGCGUGAGGCCUUUUCCGGCGACGCGCCUCCUCCUCCAGCCUCGCCUGCCGCCGACCAGCAUCCCUACCUACCUGGUUCUCCCAUCCGAGCCCUGCACGUACCUCUUUUGGGGAUUUUUGUCUCCGUCAGCCCUCCAAACAACCUUUCCGGCGAAGUUCCGGCUACUUUCUCUCCACCCCAAUCCCUGCACGUGCCUUGGGAAGUGUUCAUCUACCUUUCUGGUGGUACCACGUCGCGAUCUGAGGCCGUCUCCCUUUUUCGGUGGUGCCACGCCGCAAUCUGAAGCCGUAUUAGGGCUCUCUUCGAUCCAAAUACGUGAAUAUGACCACCAAAAAUCAGAUCUUUACCUCUGUUAUCUCUGGAUCUCCUAUGAUUACCUCAGAGAAAUUGGUUGGCAGUGAAAAUUAUCUUUCCUGGUCUGCCUCUGUUGAACUUUGGUUUAUGGGUCAAGGAUAUGAGGAUCACUUGGUUUCCCAGGAGGCAGAUAUCCCUGAGGUUGACCGCGUACAGUGGAGGAAGAUAGAUGCACAGUUAUGUAGUGUAUUAUGGCAAUCGGUUGAUCCCCGGAUUCUUCUUCAUCUUCAGGCCUAUAAAACUUGUUUUAAAUUUUGGACUCAAGCCAAAGGAUUAUACACGAAUGAUAUCCAGCGUCUUUAUAAGGUGGCUUCUGCUAUUGUCCAUCUCAGCCAACAGGACUUGGAUCUAUCUACUUAUAUUGGUCAGAUUGCCUCUCUUAAGGAGCAGUUCUUGACUGUGAUGCCUCUUACUCCUGAUGUUGGGGCUCAACAAACACAGCUUGACAAGUUCUUCAUGGUCCUUACUCUUAUUGGCCUCCGUCCGGAUCUUGAGCCUAUUCGUGAUCAGAUUCUUGGUAGUUCAUCAGUUCCGUCCUUGGAUGAUGUGUUUGCUCGCCUCCUCCGUAUCUCGUCCACUCAGACUUUGCCAUCUGAUAGCGCUUCAGAUUCUUCUGUGUUAGUUUCUCAAACUACCUCUCGAGGAGGACGCAGUGGUACCCGAGGUAGAGGCCAACGUCCUCAUUGCACCUAUUGCAAUAAACUUGGCCACACUCGCGAUCGUUGCUAUCAGUUACAUGGAAGACCUCCUCGCACUGCCCAUAUGGCCCAGUCCUCUGAUUCUCCGCUGCCUCAGCCUCCGAGCUCCUCCGCAUCUCAGACAUCUCAGGCUUCUAUUGCCUCUGUUGCCCAGCCUGGUAAUGCCUCUGCCUGCCUUACCCACACAUCUUCUCUUGGACCCUGGAUUCUAGAUUCUGGAGCAUCUGAUCACCUAUCUGGUAAUAAAGAUAUUUUCUCCUCUAUUACUACUACCUCUGAUUUACCUACUGUUACUUUAGCUAAUGGUUCUCAAACUGUGGCUAAAGGUAUUGGUUUGGCCCUUCCUCUGCCUUCUCUACCUCUCACUUCUGUCCUUUAUACUCCUGAAUGUCCUUUUAAUCUUAUUUCCAUCAGCAAAAUCACUCGUACUCUUAAUUGUUCUAUUACCUUUUCUGAUAAAUUUGUGACCUUGCAGGACCAGAGUACGGGGAAGACGAUUGGCAUAGGACGUGAGUCUCAAGGCCUCUAUCACCUCACCUCAGAUUCAUCUCCUGCAGUUUGCAUUUCCACUGAUGCUCCUCUCCUCAUUCACAAUCGUCUGGGCCACCCUAGUCUCUCCAAGUUCCAGAAGAUGGUUCCUCGUUUUUCCACUUUGUCGUCGCUUCCGUGUGAGUCAUGUCAGCUUGGGAAACAUACUCGUGUCUCGUUCCCAAAGCGUUUGAAUAAUCGGGCAAAGUCUCCUUUUGAGCUUGUCCACACUGAUGUUUAGGGUCCUUGUCGGACUGCGUUUACUUUAAGAUUUCAGUAUUUUGUCACUUUCAUUGAUGACUAUUCUCGAUGUACUUGGUUAUUUUUAAUGAAAAAUCGAGCUGAGUUAUUUUCUAUUUUCCAGAAAUUUUAUACUGAAAUCCAAACCCAGUUCAAUAUUUCUAUUCGUGUGUUACGCAGUGACAAUGCCAAGGAAUAUUUUUCAGCCCAAUUUACUUCGUUUAUGUCUCAUCAUGGGAUUCUUCAUCAGUCUUCUUGUGCUCAUACUCCUCAACAAAAUGGGGUAGCUGAACGCAAGAAUCGACAUCUUGUUGAGACAGCUCGUACUCUCCUCCUCUAUAGUCACGUUCCUUUUCGUUUUUGGGGGGACGCUGUUCUUACCGCUUGUUAUUUGAUUAAUCGUAUGCCCUCCUCUGUCUUACACGAUCAGAUUCCUCACUCCCUUCUUUUCCCUGACCAACCACUUUAUUUCCUUCCUCCUCGUGUCUUUGGUUGUACUUGCUUUGUUCAUAUUCUCACUCCUGGACAGGACAAGCUUUCCGCCAAAGCCAUGAAGUGCCUCUUCUUGGGAUAUUCCAGACUUCAGAAGGGUUAUCGUUGCUAUUCCCUUGAGACUCAUCGAUACUUUAUCUCCGCUGAUGUCACCUUCUUUGAGGACUCACCAUUCUUUUCCACCACUUCUGAGUCUCUUCCUGUUUCUGAAGUCUUGCCCAUUCCCAUUGUCUUCCCACCUGAUGCUAUGCCCCCUCGACCACUUCAGGUUUAUCAUCGUCGCCCUCGUGUCGUUGCUCCUCUCCCUUUUCCUGAGGCACCUGCUGACUCACUUCCUAUCCCUUCGACUUCACCUGCCCCGGCUCUGCCUUCUCCUAAUGACUUACCCAUUGCUGUUCGAAAAGGUACUCGCUCUACUCGUAAUCCUCAUCCUAUUUACAAUUUUUUGAGUUAUCAUCGAUUAUCUUCACCCUAUUCUGCUUUUGUUUCUGCUAUAUCCUCUGUUUCUCUUCCAAAGAGCACCCAUGAAGCUCUUUCCCAUCCAGGCUGGCGACAGGCAAUGGUGGAUGAAAUGGCUGCUCUGCACUCUAAUGGCACUUGGGAUCUUGUUGUUUUACCCUCUGGUAAAUCUACAGUUGGUUGUCGUUGGGUUUAUGCAGUUAAGGUUGGUCCUGAUGGUCAGGUUGAUCGCCUUAAGGCCCGCUUAGUUGCUAAAGGCUAUACUCAAGUUUAUGGUUCUGAUUAUGGUGACACAUUCUCACCUGUUGCCAAGAUUGCUUCUGUCCGCUUGCUUCUCUCCAUGGCUGCUAUGUGUUCUUGGCCUCUUUAUCAGUUGGAUAUUAAAAAUGCCUUCCUUCAUGGUGAUCUUGCCGAGGAAGUUUAUAUGGAGCAACCUCCUGGUUUUGUUGCUCAGGGGGAGUCUGGUUUAGUGUGCAGGUUACGCCGUUCUCUAUAUGGCUUGAAACAAUCUCCUCGAGCAUGGUUUAGCCGUUUUAGUUCUGUUGUUCAAGAGUUUGGCAUGCUUCGCAGUACAGCAGACCAUUCAGUUUUUUAUCAUCAUAACUCCUUGGGGCAGUGUAUUUAUCUGGUUGUUUAUGUGGACGACAUCGUCAUUACAGGCAGUGAUCAGGAUGGUAUUCAGAAACUAAAGCAACAUCUUUUUACCCACUUUCAGACCAAAGACUUGGGGAAACUCAAGUAUUUCUUGGGAAUUGAGAUAGCUCAAUCCAGUUCUGGUGUGGUCCUUUCCCAAAGGAAGUAUGCUUUAGACAUCCUGGAAGAAACCGGUAUGUUAGACUGUAAACCGGUAGACACACCUAUGGAUCCGAAUGUCAAACUUGUACCAGGACAGGGGGAGCCUUUAGGAGACCCUGGGAGAUAUCGACGGCUCGUAGGUAAAUUGAACUAUCUCACCAUUACUCGUCCAGACAUUUCUUUUCCUGUGAGUGUUGUUAGUCAAUUCCUACAGUCACCAUGUGAUAGCCAUUGGGAUGCCGUAAUCCGUAUUCUUCGAUAUAUCAAAAGUACACCAAGCCAAGGUGUAUUGUACGAGAACAGAGGUCAUACUCAAGUUGUUGGUUACACAGAUGCAGAUUGGGCUGGCUCACCCACAGAUAGACGUUCCACUUCAGGGUACUGUGUUUUUAUUGGAGGUAAUCUAAUAUCUUGGAAGAGUAAGAAACAAGAUGUAGUGGCCAGAUCUAGCGCUGAAGCCGAGUAUCGAGCUAUGGCUUUGGCAACAUGUGAACUCAUAUGGUUGAGACAUCUUCUUCAGGAGUUGAGAUUUGGAAAGGAUGAACAGAUGAAACUCAUCUGUGAUAACCAGGCCGCAUUACAUAUUGCAUCCAAUCCAGUCUUUCAUGAAAGGACCAAGCAUAUUGAAGUUGACUGUCAUUUCAUUAGAGAGAAGAUCGCAUCAGGAUGUGUUGCUACAAGUUUUGUCAAUUCAAAUGAUCAACUAGCAGACAUCUUUACUAAAUCUCUCAGAGGCCCUAGGAUUAAAUAUAUUUGUAACAAGCUUGGUGCAUAUGACGUAUAUGCUCCAGCUUGAGGGGGAGUGUUGAAUAUAAUGUAUUUAUAGUAUAUUAUCUUUCCUUGUUAAUAUAGGUCACAUGUAUGGUAGUUAAGACUCCUAGCCUUGUAUAUAUAUAUAUAUCUCAAUUGUAAGUAGACAUUACAUGAAUGAGAAUUAAGGUUUUUCUCCUUUCUCUCUCUCUCUUUCAACAAAAAAAAAAAAAAAAUAUAUAUAUAUAUAUAUAUAUAUAUAUAUAUAUAUAUAUAUAUAUUAAAACCAAGAAAAAUAAAUGAACUUGGAAAUCCCUCUUUUGAUAACAAGCUCAAUAACAUAUUCAUAUCAAAACCUAAGGCUGAAACUGACUUUUCCACAAGAGAAAAGCAAGGAGAGAGGGAAGGAAAAGGAAAUAAAGAACAGUAAUUGUUUUGCUCACCUGCAAGUAAAGCCUCAAUACUUUGAUAUUGUAUGGUUGAUGUUCCCAGAGAAACAUCUUCUCUGGGAUCCCCAUCUAGAUUUUUCAUCUCGAUUUUCUUGAUCCUCUCAAGCAAUACAAACUUAUCCGCUUCCCACACACAUUCAAGGGUGACAAAUUCUUCAUUUGUUGGAUAAUACUCCCUAAAAAACUGCACCAAUUAUCCAGAGAGAGAGAAAGAAGAACCUAAUUUUGAGUCAAAGGGUAACAGCAAAAAGAUAUUUACCAAAAGAAUUUGCCAAAUGUAUAGAGCUGCAAAACCAACCUCAAUUCCUGCUUGAGUCAAUUUUACAGACUGCUCCUUUUGGGAGAGAGAAGAAACCAUGUUGAAGACAGAAACAACAUCAAGUAGUGUCUGGAAAAAAAACAAAGAGCAAUCCUAAGUUUUGCCAUGGUGUCAACUAAAACAACGCACCAAGUAAUUCAGAUUGUCCUAUUAGGCACACUAAAUUAAGACACCAUACAGUCAUCCUUCCAACAAUGGCCUAUUCCUAAGAGUGAAUGGUAGUAAGCAAAUGCAAACAUUGGUGAAAAGAAAGCAUUUGUCCAAUGAGCUACAUCAAAGUCCCAAAUAACAAGGACAGACUUAUAUCUGUCCUUGCAACAUUUGACACCUUGAUUCCAAGUAAGAUUUUGCCACCAUCUCUUUGUCCAUCCAAUUUUUAGGGGGUGUUGCUGUGUCAUAUGCUUUGUAUCAAAACAAGGCACCCAGGCCCUCUUCAUACAACAUACAAUUUUCACCCUCUUGUUAUGUUGGCACUAGGAUGAGGCCAUCAGCUAGACCAUUGAGAUUGAUCACCUUAUUGCCAUAAACUAACAAGAUUCGAAAACCAAUUCAGAUUUUUUUUUUUUUUUUUUUUUGGCUAAGCAAAAACCAAUUUAGAAAUUUUAAUUCUUCCUCAAAAUGAAAGCAUACUUGCUGAACCAAAACUCGAAGGCGAGCAAGAAGAGCCAAGAUUGUUAGAGAGAAUCCCAUGAAAAAUGACCGAGCAAGCAAAGUAGAUAUCUCACUGUAGAAUAGUUAAGAAGAAAAAAUUAAUAAUUUAAUUUUCCCAAUUCAUCCCCACAUGAUCAAACCAAUAUUCUAAUACAAUGAUGAUGAGCAUGCAACCACUCAAAAUAGGAUGGUUUUAACAAGCCAAGACAGACUGAUAUUUGGCCAGUUUGCCUCAAGAUGGCAGAAGAAAUUGCAUCUAAAAAAAAGGUGCAAAACAUAAGAUAGAAAAAUCCAACUAUAUUUGAAGAGUGGAAAAGAUCAAAAGAGUGCCCUUUUCUUUUUCUUUUUCUACGAUCCUUGUAAGCAAAGGAAAAAAAAGGCACGCACACAAACAAACAAAGAGACAUGGUGGCCAACUGAUUAGGUCCAGAAAACCUAUCCCAGAAAGAUAUCUAAUUACUGGACUUGAAAAGGAAAUGGAAAUAAUUAAAACCUAGAGACCUGCAAAUAAUAUAGCGAAACAAGAAAUGGCAGAACAAAAAGAAAAUUUGAUGAACCAGAAAUUAAAUCUGGCAGAAAAGAGGAUCAUAGAAUUUUUUAGUGAUAAAAAACUAAAAAGACCCAGACCAUGCUAUAUGCCUUAAAAAAGAAAUAUAUAUGAUAAACCAAUAUUGCAUUACAAUUGUAUACCUUUAAACUAUACUUAAAGGCUUAUAUUUUGGAGAAAUACAGUUUCUGAUGAAGCUCAUAUUUUGGAGAAAUACAGUUUCUGAUGCAAACAAGUCUACUAAAACUACCAGGUAAGUAGAAAGACAGCUACACCGUUAUGAUGGGAAAUGAUUGGUAUAGCCCUUGUUUAGGAUGUGGUAAAAAAGAUGUGCUAAUUUAUAAGUCACUUCCACAACCAAUUCAAUCAAGUCAUUUUGAGAUCUAAGAAAACUAAUCAAAUGUCCAAAUUAGUUCUAUUAGUAUCACAAAAAGUCCCAUAACAAUAACAAAUUAACCAACUAAUGAAGGAUACAUAGCUGCCUUCAACAUCGGUUCCACCAUCUGCAACAGAAACAGAGAAAACAUUAGGAAGAGUAAGCACAACCUAAGGACUUAGUGGUUUCCUCACUACACAAUAUAUGGGAGAUUGUGUAAUCUAGCGUAUCUGAAGCUGCAUUGCAAGUAGCUGCCUCCUAGAUUUGACAUAAUAAAAAUACUGAUCUGAUAUAUGUAUCUGAUAUAUGGUAGCACUUGCACCAAUGUACCCUUUUCAAAACCACAGAAGUCAUAUUAGAAAAAUCUAACUUUUCCGAUCAAAGAGGCUUGUAUCAGAAGACAGAUUGUUGAAAUACCAAUUUGCAUGAUUAUACAAGGUGGCUAAAUGGUUGAACAGGAAAGACCAGCAAACACUGCACUUGCAUUUGGAUCAAGAAAAAGAAAGAAUCUAUUCAAAGACAUUCGGAUUCCAAUUGUAUUCAUUUAACAAUGUCAGCAAGGUUAAUCUUAGUUUAAAAUGCUAAAAAUAUCCCAAAGAAGUUAGGUAAGUUUGGAUUAGGGCAAGAAUGCACUACUGUGUCCCUUCUCCAAAAUUACAAAGCAUCUAACAUCAACAUUUUCCACUCCCAUGUGCCAAUUCUGGUGAAUAAUAGGGCUGUUUUUACUCCCCUUGGAAUUGAAAAUCCUGUAUUUACUAUCUUUGUAAUUUUUUUCUCCUUUUUUCUUAUGGAAUCUUUGUCCUUCUUAGUGUAUCCCUUUUAAAUUCAAAAGAAAUUUUCUUGUUUUCUAUUAAAAAUUUAUUGGCUGACAGUAAGCCAGAUUUCCUGGUGAGGUUGUACUGUGAUGAUAUCAUGUCAAUGUCACAACAAUAUGGCAUUUUUCUUCCUUUCCUCCCCCAUCUUCUUCAUUGAUACUCCCUCUACCAACACUUAGACCCUUGACUUUUCAGAUUAUUACACUUGUUCAGAGCUCAGAAAAAUGCAUGAAAAGCUGCUUUUGCAGUUCUUUCAGUGUGACCUGAAUAGUAAAAAAGGCUAAGUUGGGAUCAUGGCUGCUGAUGCCAUACUCAAGACAUAUCAUACAUAUGAGUGAGAACCCUAGGAGUACAAAUAUCUCUAAAUAAAAAAGUACACAUGGCAAACUGCAAUGGAGUAAUGCAUUAAGGAACUUAGUGAUAUCAUAGAAAAAGAAAAGUAUGUUAAUGACGAAUCAAGCUGACCUUUCCUUAACUGAGGGAGAUGUGACUGCUGAAGAAACAAUCAAAUGUGAAAAAGGAAGAAACAGGAUAUAAGAGGGAGGAAGAAAACAAAGAACAUACUUCAGAUAGUAAACGUGCAGCUCCCAGAAGCCGCUCCAUAAAAUUAUAUUUACCACCAUCGCCUUUUCUCUUCUUUAAACUGCAUAGAUAUAAAUAAAUAAAUAGAUAAGUGAAAAAACAAGCAAACAUGUGUGAGCAUAUGUAUGUACACUCAGAAACUUAUGAACAUCCUUUUGCUUCAAAGUACAUUAUUUAAAUCUCAACAUAGACAUUUACCCCUAUCAAAUAGUGAGUAAAUUAGAUGGGGAAAAAAUGAGGACAAACAUAGACUUCAGUUCAAAAGAGAACCAAACCAUCCCUCUGUAAAGCUACCACGUGAUGGUUUGAGAUAUUUGUGAUACUAUGCCAAAGCCCCAAUGUUAAAGGCAAUGUAGAAAUAGAUGGUCAAUCAAUUCUCCACUUCUCAUGCAUAAAAUGCACCAAUGAAGACUGAGAGACUUGUAGGAUCUGCUUAAUUGUAGGAUGUCAUUGGUGUUUACCUUUUUGUGUACCACUAACCUAGCAAAGGCCUUAACCUUUGAAGGGGCUUUUGAUUUUCAAACAAAUUUGGUCAAAAGGAACGGGAGUGGACUUGAGAAAUUGGACAAGGUCAAGAAAAAGAUUUUGUUGAGAAUAAACCUAAGAAUAUAAGUCUUUUAAGAUUUUUAAUUUCCAUGUCAAUGAAAUUGCGACGAAAGUUAAAAUUCUAAGAAAUUGGAGAGGAAUUAUCAAGGACAACUAAGAUGGUGAUAUUUUUUUUUUUUGAUAAAUAUCACGAAUAUAUUAAAGGGCAAAGGCCACCAAGCAUACAGGACGUAUACAAAUCUGCCUCAAAACGAGAGCACAAAAAAACACGCACCCUUACCCUCCCUUAAGUGGCCGCUAGCCACUCCAAAAAACCUAAGAGUGAAGAGGACUCCUCUCCAAUAUACACCCUAGCCCAACUCCACAAGGUACAAACAAAAUAAUUUUUGAGUUUCUGUAUAUUUAACACCCCUCCCUUUAAAGCUAACCUAUUCCUUUCCUUCCAUACCGUCCAAAAAAUACACAACGGGAUAGAAUUCCAAUUUUUUUUCCUCUUUUUCCCCACAAAGGGGCCCCUCCAACUGAAUAACGCCUCCUUCACCAACUCUGGGAACACCCACUGAACCCCCACAAGGGCAAAAAUAAUUUCCCAUAAGGCCCUUACCACUAUACAAUGUAAAAGAAUGUGAUUUACAUUCUCCUCUUCACAACCACACAAAAAACAUCGGUUAGGAAACUGCCAGCCCCAUUUUUGAAGCCUAUCCAGGGUGAGAAUCUUCCCCCACGCGGCUUCCCAAGCAAAAAAAGCCGCUUUGGUUGGGACCUUGUGGUGAUAUUUUUCAAUGUGACAACUCUAUAGAGACCUGAAAAUUGUGAACACAAAUGGUUAUCACCCCACCACAAAUCUUCUCAGAAUUGAAUUCUCUCCCCGUUACCCACCACAACGCAAGAAUAUGAGGAAAAUUCCUGGCAGACUUGUGCAAUAGCCUUCUAAGGACAUCCUGUGACCAUCUAACCAGAAUGUUGGAGUCUCAUCCAUUAGGAUGUGUCCUAUAAAUGCUUGAAAUAACUUGAUGUCAUAGGCCACAAUUUUCCUUAGGGAACCUGUAUAGCAACUUCCCUAAAUGAGCACGAUUUCUCAAGGAAGUCUUCUCAAUUCCCAGAACUCCAAACUCCUUUGGCCUACACACUAUGUACCAACUAAUAAUAAUCUUUUUUACCCUCCCCAAUCUUUGACCAAAGAAAAUCUCUUUACAUUUUCUUGAUCUUUAAUCCAUUUGAUUUUUCAAAGCAUGAAUUCCAAACCAAAUGAACAUAGGAGUAUUUACUUGGAUGAGUUUUCAUAUAUGUACAAUAUUCUUCUCUAAAUUGAUUCUUUUUUACUUCUGGAAAUGCAGAGAAAAACCAUUUUCUUUUUUCUUUGUUAUUUUCUAAUCAAAAUUCAAAUAUAAUGUAUUCUUUAUCAAUUGUAAAUUUUCUUAAUGUUAUAAAUGAUUUUUUUUUUUGUUUUGGAGCAUCAUGUUGAAUUUGAGACUAAGUUGGAGAUAAUCUUGGGCACUGAUUUUCCUAACAAAACGGUCUUGGAAUAUCAUGUUGAAAGUUUACUCCUCAUAGUUCUUGGUUUCUAGUUCUAGCCAAGGUAUAACUAAAAGAAGAUCUUGAGGAAGAAGUUCUUGAUUUAUAUUAUUGACUCCUAGAUAUUAGAGAAGUGCAUUCAAUGGUUACUAAUCCUUCUUUGUCUUCAAGUUGUUUUCAAUUUUAAGAGUGAUUAAAUUUUUGAAGUCCCAUUUUAAUGAGGUUGCCAACUGUUCUAAUGGUUACCACAUAGGAACCAUUGUUGAUUCAUGUUCAUCGUUUGCUUGGAAUAUCAAAGUUUCUCUUUAAGGGAAGAAACCAAACAUUUAGGAUAGAGAGAGGUUGUCAUAGCUUUCUAAUAUAUUGAUUUGUCAAAAAGUAGAUUCACUCUAACUCACCAAGAACUAUUCAAGAUAAGAUCUGUUGAUUUGCCAAAAAGCAAAUUCCCUUUAACUCGUUAAAGAGUUGUUCAAAAUAAGAUCUGUCGAAAGCACAUUCUCUUUAGCUUGAUGAAUUUCAACACAAGCUUAAAACAUUUUGAAGUUUGUUACUCUGAUUAUUAAAAGACCCUCUGCAAGGAAACCAUUGACAAAAAAAAUUAAAAAACCUCUUUGAAAUCAAACCUUAUUAUCUCUUCUCCCCUUAUAUAUAUAUAUAUAGAUUUCUUUCGUUGUAUACCUUUCAUAUUCCAUACUUCUCAACUGAUUUGUAAACUCUGUAAUCAAGAUCUUUGUAAGUCAAGUUUUUUUCAAAUAUUUUGUUUUUUUCAAGUAUUUGUUCCUAUUAUUAUUUUACUCUUUUUGUUUUUAUUAUGGUUUUACUAUUUUUACCUUGUUCAAUUUUACUCUAUUGUUUAAUUAUAAAGAUCCUGAGUAAAUGGUAUCAGAGCCAUAAGUUUUAUUUAGUUUAAAUUAAGUUGAAACUUUAAUUAAAUUAAACUAAGGAAUAGUGUUGAUUAGCCCAUCAAGCCAAGAUAUAAGGGGUGAUCGCAAAGAUAGUCUUACUAGACUUUGGAAUUAGUGAAACAAAGGUAUAACAAGCUUUAAAAUAAAUGAGUACUCUAUUGAGAAGGCUCGCACAUAAUAAGGGUACUAAUAGUUUCUCUAAAAUCGAUAAAAAUAUUAGCUCUCUAAAAACUUCUUCAAGACUAGAUAAUCCCAUGUAUCAACAAGGUAGCGCUUAUUUUAAGGGGCUACUUAUGGAUGCUAAAAGUAACAUUUGAAGGUCAAAUGCAACUUCUAGGAGUGUUUGGGUGGAAUUCUCAAAUGUAAGCCUCAUAUAUCAUAUUGGGAAAGUGGAGAGGCACAUGCUUUUCUUCAAAUUUAAAAAUGUAUAAAUUUCAAAGGAAACAUGUGUUGUAGGUUCAUCCUAUUCAAGCAUCUCAUAAUAAUUGUACGCAUCAAACCUUAUUUUAAUUCUUUCCAAAUUAAUACAAAUCAAUAUGUCCACAAUUUUGUGUGAUUGUGCAAGACAUGGAAUUUAUCUAUACAAGUAUAGUCCCAAUUAUGAAUAUCACAAGAUUGAGUCCUCUUAAGGCAAUCCACUAGUGAUUUUUUAGAUAUGAAAUAAUAAUAUGUAACCAUUUUGGUCCGUAUCUAUGCUUAGUGGACAAUACAGUAGACAUGCUUUUGCACCAACACAAAUGCACAACUCCCUAUAAUCUAAAUAUGCAAAAAUGGUAAUGCAUAAUUAUCUAUAUGUGUAGACUUUGAGUUCUAUGGAGGCAUAUUUGUUUAUUUAUGCAUUGUGCACAUGCAAAUCAAUGUUAUUUCAACUUAUCAUCUAUUUCAAAGUUAAUAGGAAUGAUAAAGUAACCAAAAUUCAUGCCACAUCAAUGCUUCAAGAAUUGUCACAAGGUAAAAUGAGAAAUACAUUAAGAGUGGAUCCUACAAUGGAAAUAUAAAACACACCCACCCUUCUCCACAUUUUCAAAACAAAUAAAAGGAAAAAUGCCUUUGGGUGUCAAAAUUGGAUUCAACAAGAGUUUCAUGUCAAUAUGUCUACAACCAUUUAUAAAAGUAUUUUGAAGCAAAAACUACGAAGAUCGUUACCAAAUUUGUCAUUCUAUUUAAGUUACUUCGCAUUCAGAUAUCAGCCAACAUGGGAAAACCAGCCUACCAAAUAAAUAAGGCAAAUAUAGAGAAUUAGAAUGUACCUUUCUAAAAGAUGGACCUUUUGUUGGGGUUUCUUUCCAUGGAUAACUUGAAAGCAUGAACUCAAAAGCUCUUCCAAGUUAGCUGAUUGCAGGAGUUUCAAGUCCCUCCUCACCUAAAACCAUAAACAAGUAUGGUAAACUACAAUGAACCCAUUAAAAAAUAUAUAGAUAGUCUAAUGCUCAAUUUGAUUACAGAAAAUUUAUAUAGGAAAAGAAAAGAAAUUGAACUUUUGAAAUUUGAUAAAAUCCACAGUUUGAAAACAAACAUAUUUCAGCUAUAUGUCUUAAUCAUGGACAAUUUCACAUUUUUAUGAAAAUUGUACACAAAUAAAAAUUACUAUGAGCUAUACAAAGCCUAGUCCUCAUUUUUACUUACUAAGAAAAUGCACGAAAAGAAAAGAAAUCAAACGAGUUUAUAUUUGCAUCCACUUAAUCUCUCCACAUAUCCACCUUAUUUACAAAUCCACCCUAAAACAUAAAACUUCUUAAUACAUACACCUAUGUAUUUUUAAUAUACCAAAAGUACUUUCACCAUUCCUCUCUUCCACACCACACUUCUUCUACCUUCUUCUGUUAUUGUUCUUCUCUUCAACAAAACCCUAGGGCAAAAUAUUAUUCUUCCAAGCUUGUUUGUCACCCAAAAAGUGUUUUAAGUUCAAAGUUAAUUCCAAUAUCUUCUAUGCAUUUUAGUUUGUAUCCACGCAUUAACAUUAUAUUUGUUUCACAUAAAUAUAUUUUAGGGCUUAUCAUUUAUGUAAUUAUCAAUAACUAUUUAUUGUAAAAAUAGUUAGGAAAUAUUUAGGAAUAAUUUAGAAGUGAUUUAAAGGUGAAAACAUUUUAAAAAAUGGAAAGGGAUAAAAAACAUGAUGGGCUAUCUGGACCUCAAAAGGUUGAAUGCUCUUAAGGAUGUCUAGAGGUAUAAUAUCAGACACCCUUGAGAGUGUUCGGAGGUAUAGAACCAGAAACUUCAAAAACCUUCCAACCCUAAAAUUACGAACACUUUUCUCGAUCCCUUUAUUUUUAAGCUCUAAAAAAAUGGAAAAAAAACAAAGAACAAAAAAAUCAUACAUAUACAAUUCUAGUAUAAUUAAAGAUGAUUAUUUGCUUAUUCAUUGUUCAAAAAAACUUCUUCCAAAUAUGUUGUUAGUGUUAUUAGAAGAAAUUGAGAAAGAAGAUGAGUGUGCAUUGAUUUGAAAUGAUAUUUUGGCCUUUCACUAAUGGAUAUUUUUGUCCUCAAAAAAAUCAUAAUCUAGGCAGAUACGUAAAGAGAUAGUUGGAUUCAAAUACAAAUUCUCAACCUUUGACUAUUGGUUUUUUUUCCUUUAUAUGAAAUCUAGGUGGUGCCUCUAUUUGCAGCAAUGUACCUUACUCAAGGUGAGUCUUACAUUCCCACAAAUCAAAAUAAUGUAAAAAGGUAAACAAAAGAAAUUAAAAUUUUCUUUUUUGUCACAGGUUUCUGACCAACCAAACAGAGAAUAAAGCCCAUCAAAAGAGGGGAGAAAAGGUACCUUUAGAAGGUAUUGAAAGUAGGAGCAUCUACGGUGUUGAUUCUUGUUCUUGUAUACAAUUCUUUCAAGAAUGGCACACUCAGAUUGGAGCUGACCAGUGAAAGAGUUCAAUCUUUCUUCAACAACUUCAAUUCCUGAAUCCAUGCAUGGGACUGCAAAAGAACAUUGAGAAUAACAAGAGGCAAAACAAAAACACAAGAACCAAAUUAGACUGGGGUUAGGGCAUCAAACAAGAGUUGAUCUUCUUGCUACAUUGAACUUUUAGGGUUUAGGACUUUAUGAAACCGAAACCUUAGAAAUGUUGACCAUACAUCCAAAAAUUUAUUUUAUAAUUUUGGUUGCAGAGAUGGUAAGCAAAUUAUUUGAGAAAAUUUAUUCAUAAUCUAAUUUCAAGGUCAGUCCCAUUCAUAACAACAAUGCUAUGCUCUUUACAUAGAAAUUUCUCAUAUUUUGCUUCCAAAAAAAGAAAAAGCCCAUCUGUGAAUUUUAAGUAAAGUGGCAUGUUCCUAUUCAAUCAUCUUUGAGAAAAAAUUUACAAUUCAAAUCAUGGUGAAAAUUUUAAAAAUUUUACAAUUCAAGAUUUUAAUUACUUUUUUCAUGUUUUCUAUCAUAUUUUAUCUGUAUCUAAACUAAAUCUAUUUUUAUACAAGAGAACAUUCCCAAAUAGAAAAGACGGUCAACCUCAGAAAAAUUUCAAUCUGGGCUGUAAUCGGCAAUAGCUCCACGGCUGUUAAAAAAGAAACACUAAAUUGAUAGCUUACAGCACUAGCAUAUCCAACUGAUAAAGCACACAAGUGAAAUCCGACCCUCCGUUUGGUUACCAAGAAAAGAAGGCAAAAUAAAUAAAUAAAUAACACACACACAUUUUGAUUACUAGGCUCUCUCUAUCUUAGCCGCCCAAAAUCCAAAAAAAAAAAAACCUCAGAUCAAUUAAGCCAAAGAGUCUUAUGAGUUUCAGAUAAAGUGCAAUGUUUAGCAUUCUCGAACCCUAGGUGGUGAAAAUUUUACGAUUGGAAAUUUUCUAUCAGUUCCCUGUUAUUUUCUCAGCAUCCAAACGAUUGUAUCAUACGUAAAUCUAUUGCUUGAAUUGGGGAAAACAGAUUGGAACGGUACCUUUAACACAGAGAUCGAUCGUCUAAGGAUGAUUGAAUUCUUUUGUGUAACGAGAAGUUGAAUGCUUUUGUGCAGUGACCGGUGUACUCUGAAGCUUGAACUCAGAGAUCGACUGAAACGCAGCGUUUGAAGGCUAAAUGAUUCGUUGCAUUUGUGUAAACAGAAACUUAGGUCAGUUCACUCGGACAAGAUGGGUUGAGCAUGGGGCCGGGACAAUUUUUGAACUAUUGGGCUGUAAGUGGGCCUGAUGUCUAAUUUAUGUCAUGACCAAGUUGAAUCUCGCCUUACUUCACUAGUCAGAUUUUCAAUCCAUGCUCAAUUUAAUAUAGUUUGGUUGAUUUUAAAAAAUAUAUAUAAGUUAAUUUUAGCAAUUUCCACAAUUCUUUCAUUUUGAUUCUAUGGUUAAAAUUAAUUUUCUAUUAAUUUAAUAAUUAUAAUUGAACAAACAGUAGCCUUGAAUAUUCGAUCGAGAGAAAAUCAAUAUCUCAAAAGUUUUCUAAUUUGAACAAAAUUGUUAAUUAUAAUGUAGACUUAUGAACAAAAUUGUUAAUUAUAAUGUAGACUUAUGGGGUGUUUGUUUUUUUUACUUUUUGCUGAAAGCAAUUAGUUUUCAGAAUUUAAGUUAUUUGUUUUUCUAUUUUUUUCAUAACUUAUUAUAAAAUUUUUACUAAACAGAAAAAGCCGAUAUAUGUAGUUUUUUCUAAAUAGAAAAAAUAACAUAUUGGUUUUUUUAUUUUUAAUACUUAAUAGAAAUAAAAUACUACAAAAAUAAAUAACAUAAUAUUUAACUAUUAAGCAUUAAGGUUGUAUUUAGAAUUAAGUAAAAAAAAAAAACAAACACCACCUUAUUAUCCUAACAAAUACAAAUUAUUCAUCUUUAUUUUUAUUUUUAUUUUUAUUUAAGUUAUAUGAUAUUGACCAUCAAAAUGUAAUAAUAUAAAAAAGGUGAUUAUCUUGAAAGCAUAAUUUCAAUCAUGUUGAUAAAAAUUACGUUAAAAUAAUUUCCUAAAUUGUUUCAUUUUAGGAUAAUAAAAUAAGUUUUAAUUGAUUUAAACAUUUGAUUUACUUAUAAAAAUGUAUUAUAAAAUAACUACUUUAUUUAUAUUUUUUUAUUUUUAGAAAUUAAUUUAAGAAUUAUUUACUUUUGAUGUUACUCUUAACCACUUCUUAAGAAUUAUUCUCAUGUGUGGUGUUGAAAUUUUUUAAUACAUAAAAUAAUGAAUAAAAUGUCUUGUUUGACUGUUGGAUAAUUUGAGUUGGGUCCUAACCAUUCUAUAGUGGGUAUCUUACCAUCUUCCAUUAAUUACUAUAUUGAAAAGUAUUUUCAAAACAAUCCUAAAAAUCAGAUUUUGAGAACAAAUUUUUUAAACCAUUUAUUAAUGUUUUAUAAAACAAAAGUCUAUUUGAUAAUUUUAAAUAUCAUUACUUUGUUUCCUAUGUUUUUAAAUAUGUUAAAGUAAUUUUACUACUUUAUUUUUAAUUAUUUUUAUAUUUGUAUAAUUAUUUUUAUAACAAUAUUUAAAAAAUAAGUUAAAACAAAUAAAUAAAUAUAUAUAUAUAUAUAUAUAUAUAUAUAUAUAUAUAUAUAUAUUAUGUUAGUCCAAGGGUUCUCCUAAUCGGGUUUUGAUGAUAACAAACCAUGGUUAAGUAACUAAUUGGUUUAAUGUUUAAGAAUCUUAGGUAUAAACUCGGAAAUUCAUAAAAGGACCAAAUGGAUACAAGAUCGAGACGCUUGGAAGACUUGAGAUCAUAGGAAAUGAAUGUAAAAUGAUAGCAUGAGUGCACUUAGGAUGUUUAUACCUUUUCAUGCAUCUUAGAAAACUCGAUUUAUUCUUUAAAACUUGAUUUUCUUUAAAACCCGAGUUUUAUCAAAUAUACCUUAGGCAAAUUAAUUCAAAAUUGGCAUAUUAACUCACCUAUAGACCUUGCCUAAGUGUUAGAAAAGAAAGGAAUCAAAAAAUAGGUUUUUCGGGGUCAAAAAGGCUCAAUCGGUCGAGGCUAAGGCCAACCGGUUGAGGAACCGGUCGACCGGCUGGGGUCGUUCGGUCGAGAACCGGUCGAGAAAGGUUAAAAACUUUCUCUCUCUCCCAGUAACCUUCUCUUCCCGGUCGAGGUGAUUCUUUUACCGGUCGAGGUCCGGUUGAGGCAACGGUAACCUGUCAUGCAUUAAAUGCUCCAACGGCUAGUGAACCGGUCGACCCCUAGCUCGACCGGACGAUGUUGCUUUUUGCUGUUUUUGACUCCCGAGCUUAAAAACCUAUAAAUUGAGAGCUCCACUUCAUUUGUUGAAAAGAGAACAAUUGCAUUCAAAGCCUACCUACCUGUUCUUGAUCAAAAAGCUCUCAUUUCUUUUUUUAGUGUAUUAAACCAUCACUUGCAUAUUCUUAGUGCACUCUUGUAAAUCAUCCUAGCUUCCUCUUGUACUUGAGCCAUCCUUAAGCUAGGUUGAGAGUUUCAUCUUUGUGUAAACUGAGUGUGAAAGCCUUCAAGUGGUUCAAAUCUUGAAAAGAUUGUGUAAGAGCCCAUUGGAGUCGGAAUCCAAGUGUAAGAAAAUUCAAAGCUUGAUUGAAACUUCAAGUUAGUGGAACCCUCACUCGGUUAGAAGAUUGAGGAGAGUAGACAUAGGCAAGAGAGUGCCGAACCACUAUAAACCCGAGAUUGAAUUCUCUAACUUUGUCUCUUUCCUUUAUUUAUUUUGUGCAUAUAUUAUUGUGUGGAAAAAGAUUUUGAAAAACCCAAUUCACCCCCCCUUUUAGGUAUUUUCUUUAAUUAUUCAUAGCCUUUGUUUUAUCAUAUUAUUUAUUGUAUUGAGAAAAAAAAUUAUUUUAUGUUUUUUUGUUGUUAAAUAUAUUUUUCUAAUUUUUUUUCUAAAUAAUAAAAAAAUGAUUUCUAAAACCGUUACUAAGUAAGAGGUUAAUUUAAUUGAGAUAAGCUAUUCAAGGAGGAAGAUUUUUCCUAAGUAUUGGAAUAAGGGUUUGACUAUUCUUUUUAGGCUAAAUUUUUUACAUAAUUUCACCUGGGGUUUAUCUACAAAUUCAAUGGACUAAUUAUUUCAAAUUAUGUUUUAAAAUUAUUAAUGAAUUUAGCACAAAUUCACAUUUGAUUUAAAAUUUAUUUUCUCUAGUGAAAAAAAUUGGAAGAACAAUUAUCUAUUUUACUUUGUUUUUAAAUAUUGUUUUUAAAGAACAGAAAAAUGGCAACAUGUCUAAAUAGGUUUUUAUUAUUUAAUAAAAGAAAUUCAAGGAUUUUUUUAAAAUAAAAAUAAAUAAUUAUUUUAAACUACAUGUAAUAUGAGAGUUUUUUUAAAAUAAAAAUUAUUUUAAACUAUAUGUAUGCAUAUAAUUAGUAAUUUAUUUAUUUUUUCAAUUUUUAUUCUCAUUCUUCGUUAACAUUGAAAUGAAAACAAAUUAUUAUUCUAGUUUUAUAUUUUUAUAUGUGUCCAAAUAUAAGAAUUAGAAUCACCAAAAUAAUUUAUAUAAGAGGAAAUGAGAGUAAAAACAAAACAUUUAUUCUCAUAUACCAAAUAUGACCUAAAAUAUUUGACAUAGGGUAAAAAUAUAAUAUUUUUGUAUAUUCUUUAAGCUAUGUUUGGUUUUCAUAGAAAAAAAAAACGGAUUUAGAAUCAAUAAAUUAUUUUUAUAUGUUUAUUUAAAUUUAUUUUACUUAUUUUAUUUCAUUAUAUAAAAAUUAAGUAAUUUUAAAGUAUAUAAAUUUUUAACUAAUUUUAAUUAUAUAUUUAUUUAUGUAUUUUUCACCCUGUGAAACCGAACAUUGGAAACCAUUUUCUUUUAACAUAUUUUUUUCUUUUCAUAAUGAUUUAUAGUACCAAACAUAGGAUAAAGGUAUGGGGACUUUUAGGCUAUGUUUCUUUUUCCGAUUUCAAGUUCAAUGAGAUUUAAAACUUGUCGUGUUAAGUUCCCUUUAACAAACUUUAGCACUUUUGUCCUCAUUGGCUCAGCGAUAUUUAAUUCCUUAUUAAUCCACUACAACGGGGUGAGUCAAUGUUAAGAAAUGUGUCUUUGCUAUUAGUCUACCAAAAGUAUCAACAAGUUGAUGUUUACUAGUUGAAAUAAAAUAUUAUAGGAAAUCGUGUGGGGGAACAUGAAGAAACAGUACGCGUGCAAUGUGGUUCAUUUAAUCCGCUAAUCCUAUCCGAAUCCAACCUAUCUUUGAGUGAGUUGGCACAAUUGUUUUUAAUAUUUAAUUUGAAUUUUGAUUAAAUUUUUUUAAUCUGAACUCAAUUUCAAUUAAAUUUUGAUCACCAAUAAUUUGAAACUAAUUCAAACUUGACUUAAUAUUUUUAUAAUAUUUACGAUAUGAUCUUGUAUAAUAAUAUUUUUUUAAAUAUCAAAUUAUAAUAUAGUUUUUAGAGAUACAUAAAUUUAUUUAUUUUAUUAUUAUUAUUAUUAUUAUAAAAUGUUAUCAUAAUUACUAUUCAAAAUUUAAUAAAAAAGUUUUAAAAAAUAUUAUUAAUGGAUUUUAAAUCAUUCAUAUCACCCAAUUAAUUAUAAUCCCAAUGAUUCAAAUUUCAUUUGAAUUUUAAAAAAUAAGGUUAAAUUAAACUUGAUUUGAGUAUUUUGAGUUAGUGGCUCUUCUCUUUCAUGGUCGUCCAAAUGUCAAUCAUCCACAAAAAUUUUUAAAAAUGAAAUUGAAUUAAACUUGAUUUGAGUAUUUUGAGUUAGUGGCUCUUCUCUUUCAUGAUCGUCCAAAUGUCAACCAUCCACGUACGGAGAUUCAAACAUGUACCAAUUUCAUAUUCUUUUAAAUAAAAAAAUAAAUAAAAAUGAAUAAUGAUGAGAUGGAAACAAGUGAGUAAUGUGGAGUGCAACUAAAGGGGUUGAAUGGGUAGGUUUUCAAUUAAUCAUCAAAUUAAAUACUAUUAUGACUUUUUGGGUGGUCCUUGUUUAUCGAUAACAAUCAAUCUUAUAGAUAUAAAUAAAAUUAAUCAAUAAUCACACAAAAAAAUAAAUUUUUUAUUAUAAAUGCUAAUUAUAAGAAAAUAGUAUAAUCCAUUAAUUAUAAAAAAAAAAAAAUUUAGUUGAUUGGAUGUAUUUAGUUGAUAGUGUCAAUAACUAUCAUCAUUUUUCACAUCUUACAAUAGCAAAACGGAAGUUACGGAAGUUUUAUGAUAAGAUAUUUAACUUUGUUGAAAUUAAAAGUUCAAAUUUUGAUCAAUUUGACUAAUCGAAUCUAAAUUUGGUGAAGUAAAAGGUUAUAUUGAGAUUUAUAAGAACUAAAGAAAAUAAGUUUCAUCUAGUUAAUAAGAAAGUAACAAAAUUUCAACUUGGCAUUUUUCUAAGUGCGUAAAGCUUAUGAAGUGGCGGCAGCGAAACUGAAACAGCGGGGGUGUGAAGUGGGUUAGGUGAGCGGUAAGCUCAACAGUAUUUUUUUUUUGUUUGUUUGUUUGUUUUCUUCCUCACCAUAAAUGAGAACGCUCUCCUUCACACGUCAACUCCAAUUUUGGAGUUGGUUGAAGCCAAAAAUCUAUUCUUCUCACGAUUUUGAAUUAAAUUCACAGUAUCGUAUCAAAAUCUGACAAAACAUCAUAAUACCAUUUUUCUAAAAAUAGAAACUUACCCACAUAAUAUGUAUAUUUCUCUGUGACCAAAUGUGUACAUUCCACACCACCCUCAAUACAUAAUUUACCCAAAAAAGAAACUACGCUACUUCCACGAUUCUACCCAAAAAAAAAAAAAAAACUCAUUGCGAUCACAGCCGUUGAAUCCAACCCAAUCUGAGCCGCCAAAACUGGUUCUAUCUACGGACAAGAAAGUUGUUGUCUUUUAACCAGAGUAUUCAAGAGCCAGUUCCACUUUACAGGUGUCGUCUUCUGAGCCGGCCAUCUCUUCCUUCUCUCUCACCACGGCACACGCCUUCUGCACCUUUGGAAUCGGCUCCAAGCCCAGUGUCAGCUCCAGCUCCACGUCGCUCCCAUCACGCGUCGGCUUCACUAGCGAAGCCUCCACAGUCUCCACCGACAUGCUGUCUGCUUCUCCGCUCUCGCGGCUCCCUGGAUGACUCACUCUCGAGUCACGACUCAGCUCGCUUUUAUAGCACCGGCUUAGGAUAACCCCAGCCGAUUCGUCGAACUCCGCAGCCGACUCCACUCUGGCCCUGGGCUUCCCACUCGAGCGCUUGAACCGCCCCCUGCUCUUAACCUUGUGAAGCUCGUGAGAAGAGCCAGCAGAGUUCUCAUCCUUUGACACGUGCCGAAUAUCUCCUGCUUUCAACGGCGGGCUCAUGCUGCUGACGGCCGACUCAGCCGAAAUCUGCAUGAUCGGAGCGCCGCUGAGCACUGCUUCCACCGCCGACUGACAAAGUUGCCAGCUUCCCGACCACAGAAGCCCGGCCGAGCCGUAUAUCGGAUUCACGAUCCUCCCACAAGCCUCGUACAGCAAUGAUCUGAAUAUAGCUGCAAAACCAAAAACAAGAAAAUUAACCAGGUUUCAGAAAGAAAACUUUUGAAAACGAAAACAAAAAAAAUCAAAAUCAAACGGAAGUAGAGGACUGACCAGGGCGGAGGUGUUCGGGGCCAGCAUUGAUAAGGUUGAUGAGGCCAGCGCGGCCGUAAAAUUUGGCGAGGAAGACGGUGGCAUUGGCUUGAAAAUCGGGGUUUUUGAUCCACUGAAGGCAAGGUCUGAGAGUGCAGCUAUCAUUACAGCCUUUGCGAAGGACUCGACAGCCAUUACAACUCAUCCGCAUGGCUGGGGUGUUUGGAAAGGAGGAAAAAAGGGCGAGAAAAUGGGGAAAAGGGGAGGAGAAAGAGUGAGGGGAUGGAAGAGGAGAUGUGGGGGGAUAUUUAAGUGAGGGAGGGCGUGGGUUUGAGGGCGCAAGUGGUUUGGGAAAGAGAAAAGGAUGUGAGAAAAUUGUAAAUUUGUGUUUGAUGGGAAACUGCUUGUAUUUAUUGCCAAAUUCUCUCAUUGCCCCUCUCUUGUCUGCCUCCGGUUUUCAACCUUUCCCUCUCUGCUUUCCCCUUUUUCUAUUCCUGCUUCCGCCACCCCAUCCUUCGUUUUUCCUUUUCUCUCUUACUGCGACCAUUCAAAGGAAAAAUACGGGAGAAAGACGGUCAGUUACGUAAAAAGAAUCUAAUCUAAAUCCCACACAAGCAACCACGUCCUUGGUUGAUUCUGAUGGACGGACGUUGAUCAAGGUUACUGCGGUCUUUUCAAUCCCCCAAACAACGAGGCCAAGAUUGUAAUUAAAGGGAAUCUCAGGGUCAACAGUAUCUUCGACGCCAUGCAUAUUGCUCCAAAACUACAUGCAGCAUGAACACGACACGUGUAAAGCCUUACAGAGCUCAGAGUGCUGACUAGUCGCCACAUAGUGGCUCACACCUUGAGAAUAGAGGCAUCCUCGCACGCGCCACAUUUACACGCGCCAAACACGGAGAUUCAUCCCAGUCGGGUGAGUCAUCUGCCCACGUGAAAAGUCACACUUAACUGGGGUAUGAUUGGAGGGCAGGAGUGGAGGGCGCGUUGGGUAGGAAUAAGAAUUGGGGAGCGUGGAAAACGCCGCCCUAAGUUUCCACUCCCGGUUUUGUGGAAUCCGUACACUGGUUUUAAAUCGUGACUGUGGGCGCCCUUUGGACUGGGCCUCUGGUUUUGGUGUCCAUGCUUAUCCUAUAAGCGUGGAGCCGACGUUUCCCUUUUCCAAUAAUUUAAUCCCCUUUUCUAAUAAUUAAACAAAACCACCACCCUUCACAUUAAUUUAUUCAAUUAAAAAACCAAUACCUUUGGAUUCAUUAAUUAUUACCUAAUAUUCAAAUUAAAUAUUAAUCAUUCGAUUAAAGACCAAUAAAUUUGGAAUAAUUUAAAUCACACGAAUAAAGUCUACCGUCCAUCAUUAUUUUAUUUAUUUAAAAUAAAAUAAUUAAAUAUAAAAAAUAAAAAAAUAAAAAAAAUUAAGAAUUAAGUUGUCAUCAUGAUAGAAAAUUUUGUUCUCCGUCACCAUACUAGAGAAUAAUAAGGCCACGAUUUUUUUUUGGAGAUGGAUUGUUUGACAAAAGCGGAGUGAGUCUGUGGCAAUAAUAAUUAUCCGGCGGAAUAUGAAGAAGUUUGACUCAAUUCUUAUUCAAUAUUUUUAAUUACAAAUUUUAUGUUGCAAUAAAACAAAUAUUUUAUUUUGGAAACGUUUAAAAUAUUCGAUCUCAAGUGCUUGACAACUCGUAAACUUUACUAACUAUAAAAUUAUAGAUGAUUAGGUCUAGAGAUAUUUGCAAUUUGGAAAUCUUAGGGACUGUUUGCCCACAUGAUUUAAAAAUAAUUUUUUAAAAUUUAUAACAUUAUUAUAUCAUUGCUUUUUAUAAAUAAUUUGUAGAGAAUGAGUAAAAAUUAUUUUCAUCAAUUUUUAAAAAAAUAUAGGUUUCGGCUUAUUAUUUUAAAAUAUUUUUAAUUUUAAGUUAUUAUUUUGUCAAUAAAACCAUGCUCAAUGUAUUUAGUGAUUUAAAUUAAUAAUUAAAUUAUUUAAAUAAUUUACCAAAUACAUUAUACUUGUUAUUCAAUGUUGGAUUGUUUGGUUUAUUUUGUUAAUAGUUUGCAACACCUAUAAAACGUGAGAUGGAAACCCAUGUGUAAACAAGAAUUUCAAAAAGCGUAAGUUCCAUAUUAGUUUAAAUGAGAAGUAUGUUUUUAUAUUUGCCUCAUCUAACAUCUUUUUCUCAUUUAAAAAAUAAAAAAUUUAAAAAUUAAAUCAAUUCAACCGGAAUAAGAAGUGUGAAUGAACAUCUUAUUCAUUUUAUCUUUUAUUCCAUACUUGGAUGGGUGAUGUAGGGACCCCUCCCUCCGAGAUACGUGACACGCAUCUUACAGUGACACAUGAUAUGCAUUGUCAUCCGGGUCACCCUCAUCCGGAUCUUCCUAUAAAGCACACAUGACGCGCUUUUUCCAUCUGGACUGCCUCAAGGAAGAGCAAACGACGCUUACAAAGCAUAGACAUCCGGACGGCUUCCAUAAAUGCGUCUGCUCCACAAUACAUCCGGAUAACCAACAUGGGCUAUCCGGAUAUGAUUGUCCGGAUCAUUGACUAAAGUAAAGCGAGUCUUACACGCUAUCACAACAACCAGACAUGACCCACGUCCCAUCACUUGCAGAGUGAAAGGACGAGUUGAGGUGACAACAAGUCACUUCCCACGAUCUCUGACAGCCGCAUCACCUACCACGGUUUCUAACAACCGUCCGUAGGAUGGUGAUGACCCUGCUGCCAUCUAAUGUCAUCAUGACAACAUAAAAUAUCUCCCCACCAUUAAUGAGAGGAAUAGUACUCCUGACACUAUAUAUAAACCUUCACACGAAGAGGAAGGUAAUCUCCUGAUACCUAGUAAAAGGUCAACUGAUUUAUAUCUCCCUCUCUAACCAUGGCUAACAAAACCAUCGGAGGGUGCGUCCGGACACCCUGUCCGAAUGCCUUUUGCAGGUAUAACGACUGAAUCAAGAACCUAUUUUGGUUGAGGUCGCGCAUCCAUCCAUUUGGCAACUACGUGGAACACCAGGAGCGCGAGGUAUCAACAGGUGAUAGAAAUAAAAUUAAAAGUGAUUCUAAUGGAAAUGAAAUUUUAUGAAGAAGGUAUUUUGAUUCUGUAAGAUAUUUUUAAAUAUUAAAAAAUUAAAGACUCUUUUGAAUAAGUUAUUUUUUUAAACAAUUUUUUUUUUUUUGUAAUACUAAAUUCAAUUUUAUAUAAUAUAAUUUUAAUUUAAUUAACAUCUUAUUAAAAAUAUAAAAAAAUUUAAUCAAUAGAUUCAAAAUAUUCAAAAUAAAUAAUUUUUAAUAAAAUAUUAAUAUUAAUACUAUAAUAAAGUCAUAAAUUAUAUUUUUUUCUAUAAAUAUUAUAAAAGUAAAGGCAUUAACAUUAAUUGAUCUAUUUUGUUAAAAAUAAAUAAUAAUAGUUUUUAAUGCCAUUUUGUAGACCCCUUUUUUUUUAAACCAAAGUUUUUUUUUUCUUUCUUCUCUUUUUUAUUUUUUUUACCACCCGAGGGGAGCUGGUAGCACCUUGGACGAGUGGGGGACCGACUUCCAUGAAGCUUCAUGCAUGAGACGCAUAGCCUUGGACGUGACCACCUCGCCAUUGUGGUGGUUGAAGUUUCAGAGGAUGACGGUUGGAGCAACAAAGCAGGUAGCGACUUGCGAGGGAAGAAAUAAACAGGGGAGGAGUGAAAAGCUUAAAAGGGAGCAAGAGAGGUUGAAGAAUGGUUCAGAGGAAAAUUCAAGAGAGCUUGAGAGGGAACCAGUGAAGAGCCUUAGAGAGAAACUGAAGAAGAAGUAGGGGAGGAGCUCGUCAGUUCGGUCUAGGUAUGGUUUCAGCAUUCUUUUGUAUUUUCUCAUCUCAGACGGUUCUAUCCUGUUUCCUGAUGAUUUUUAGGUUCAUUUGCUGAUUGGUGUGAAUAUUAAGGGCCACUUGUUUGCUUUGCUAUACCUGCUUUUUAUGUGCGUGCUCUGUUAGGGCCUCAUGUUUUGAUAUCUUUAUUUAUCUCUGGAAAAUACUUAAUGUAUUAAUCUUUCCCUGAAUUUGAUAAAUAGAAAUCCUGCUCUUGCUUCAUGAGAUUUUUCCACCUAUAUCCAGCUCAUUGAUCAUCAUGAAAUGGAACUAAAUGUAGCAUAAUUUCUUUCUCUUGUACAUUUUUUGUUUUUCUUCAUUUUACCUUCUGUUUUUAGCAUUUUUUGGAGUGUUGGUAUCAUGUUCAGUUUGGCCGUCUGGAUUUGGGGUGUUUUUGAGAGAGAUUAGCAUUAGAGUCUUUGGGAGACAUUGCCCCUAUUGUAUAUUUGGUAAGCUGAAGGUUAUCUAUCUAAGGAAGGCUUGAAGGAGUGGCCUGAGUUGUCAUCACCAGCUGCAUCUCAACAACCAGUUGGUUCACUGAAUAUGUCCAGGGCUGAUUUCAGAAUGGCUUCCCAACAACAUGGAUCAUUUUCCAGAGUUGGACUAUACCCUGCAUGCGUGAAACGCUAUUUUCGCAUGGCCACCUUAGAUCCUAUGUUUUCCAUUUCCCACUGAACACACCUCCUGCCCACCGAACCCGUUUCCCCUACACCACAUAUCCUCCAUGCCCACCUUUAAACCCACUUCUCUCUCUAAAUCUUCACAUACCCAUUUUCUCCAUUUAUCUCACCCCUUGCAGUAGCUCCCUUCACCAUCAAACCAUCACCAAACCACCACCUGCACCACCACCAACUCCUCCACCAAGCCACCCACGGAUAGAGAAAAGAAAAGGAGAGAUUUUAGAAAGAGAGAAAUGGCACCAGUGUUGCAGAGCUCUCAGCCAUGGGUGGAAUAAUAUCGUCCAAAGCAAGUGAAGGGUGUAGCUCACUAGGACGAGGUGGUUCGAGUGUUUACCAGCGCUCUUGAGACCACAAACUGCCCGCACAUGCUAUUCUAUGGGUCGCCCGAUACCAACAAAACCACCACUGCACUUGCCAUUGCUCAUCAACUUUUUUGGUUUAUUCUUAUUAGAGGUUUUGAGGGAGUGAGGGAGGGAGGGGGGGGGGGAGAGAGAGAGAGAGAGAGAGAGAGAGGAAAGUUUGAAGAUGAUUGGACACUAAUGCAAUGAAGGAAAUAUCUACUAGAGAAAAUAUCACUAAAUUCAAGAUUUCAUAUUUUUGAACCACUGUGAGUUGGUGGAAGAUAUUUUUAAGAAUCUUACACUAGAACUUCCUGGUUAAACUUGAUGGACCAAAAAUGAUAUCUAUAAAAGGAGAAUCUUAAUAAGAGAAACUAAUUCUUGCAAUUCAUGUUGUUGGUGAGUUUGCAAUUAUGCUCAAAGUUGAAAUUCCAAGGGAAGUUAGUGGAAGAGAAAAAAACAAAGGUUAUUCAAUUUUUAAGGGGCACACCCAUGGUUAUUGAUAGUGACAUCAUGAGAGAGGUUAAUUAAUUUGUUAGAAAGUACCAAUGACCAUGUAUAUGCCAAAUAAACAUUUAUUAAGACUGACUUUUUUUUUUAAAUUUCUUUUUGCUUUGUUUUGAUGUCUAACUGUACUUGUGUGUUUCUAGUUUGUCAUAUAUCCAUUUAAAUGUUUUUUCAAAAUUUCGAUUUUUAAAUUUAAUUUUCAAUUUUUCAAAAUUCCAUUUUUCAUGUUUAUUUAUUUAAUCAUUAUUAUUUUCAUUGUUAUUAUUAUUUCAUUUAUUUUUAAAAUUCCAUCUUUAAAUAAUCCUUCAAAAUUCCAAUUUCCAAAAUUUCAGUUUUCACAUUUAUUUAUUUAAUCAUUAUUAUUUUCGUUAUUAUUAUUAUUCUAUUUAUUUAUUUAUUUAUUUUUAAAAUUUUAUCUUUAAAUAACUUUUUAAAAUUUCAAUUCCCAAAUUUAAUUCCCAAUUUUCAAAAUUUUAAUUUUUACAUUUAUUUAUUUAAUCAUUGUUAUUUUUGUUAUUAUUAUUAUUCUAUUUAAUUAUUUAUUUAUUUUUAAAAUUUUUCAUCUUUAAAUAAUUUUUCAAAAUUCCGAUUUUCAAAUUUGAUUCCCAAUUUCCAAAAUUCAAAAUUUUCACAUUUAUUUAUUUAAUCAUUAUUAUUUUUGUUAUUAUUAUUAUUCUAUUUAUUUAUUUAUUUUUAAGAUUCCAUCUUUAAAUAAUUUUUAGAAAAUUCCAAUUUCCUAAUUUAAUUUCCAAUUUUCAAAAUUCCAAUUUUCACAUUUCUUUUUUAUUAUUAUUAUUACUUUAUUACUUUAUUUAUUUUUAAAUACCAUCUUCAAAUAAUUUCCUAAACUCCAAUUCUCAAAUAAUUUUCAAAAUCCCAAUUUCUUUCAAAUUUAAUUUCCAAAAUUCUAAUUCUUAAACUUAAUCUUCGAAACUCCAAUUUUCAAAUAAUUUUCAAAAUUCCAAUUCCUUUUAAAUUUAAUUCCCAAAAUUCCAAUUCUUAAAUAUAAUUUUCAAAACGCCAAUUUUCAAAUUUUUUUUUAGUUUUCAAUUUUCGAAUAAAUUUCAAAACUUUAGUUUUCUUUCAAAUAAUUUUGAUUUCAUUCCAUUUUUCAAAUAUUUCUUUAAUCCUACCACACUUCAUCUUUCCUUAAGGUUCAGGGUCACUAAAAAUCCCAUUUUUAAUAAAUUUGUUGCCUUUUUCUUUGAGGCAAGUACCUUCAUAAAUUUUUCUUUGAUUUUAAAAUAAUUUUUAUGUUCCUCUUGAUUUUUAAAUAAACAAUAAUGAAUUUUUUUUUUCAUAAUUUCAAAAUAAUGGAAUUUGUGAAACUAAUUCAUUCAAGAUAAAUUGGGCUUUGGUGGAGGUCCUAUGCAUGAGUUUUCUCUCUUGAUUGUCAGCUGUUAUACUUAAUAAAUAUUGUUUGAUCUUUGUCUUACUUUUUGAUAUGAAUGUGAUAAUUUUAUACUCAAAUUAACCUUGUUUCUAUGAUAACGCACUAUUAAUUGUUGUUAAGGUACGAUCUCACAGACUGUCUUUUUCAAAUAAGGAGUCACACUUAGAGUUUUUUUCUUAUUUUGUUUACCCUUUAAAAAUAAAACAAAAAUAAGUGGCGAUUUCAAGCCAUUUUUUGAACAAUAAAUCAUUUUUCAAAUAAAAAGUGAGUUCGCCAACGAGUGGAAGUGCAUGAGCCGAAAUGCGGGGUUCACACAUUUAUAAAAUUAUAUAAAUAUUAUAAAAAUAUGAAUAUUAAUAUCUUAUAAAAGCAUAAUUAAUUGUUAAAAAUAAAGAAUAAUCAUUCAAAAUUAAUAAUUGUUAAUAUUAUUUUAUUUUAAAUGUAUAUAAAAACAAAGACAAUUUAAUUUUUUAAGGUAUCGAUGAACCAAAAUUUUCAUUAUAUGCAUACAUUUAUUAUUUAAUUAUGAAUAUUGUAUUUUAAAUUAUUUUAUUUAAUCUAUAAUUAAUUAAUCAAUUUUUAUUUAUUUAUUUCAAAUUAUACUUAAAAAUUAUAUGAUUUAUUAAAGAAUUCAAAACAUUAAUUAUGUCCAUUAUUUUUUGUUGUCAUUAUAUAUAUAUUUGAGUUUCAAAAUAUUUUUUAAAAUUAUUAAGUUUAUUAAUAAAUUCAAUAUAAAAUAUCACGUGAUUUAAAAUUCAUUUUUUUAAAGAAAAAAAAUAUCUAUUUUAUUUUGUUUUUAAAAAUUAUUUUAAAGAAUAACAACCAUGAUAUCAAUUUUUAAAAACAAUUUUGUUUGUAAAUUAUGUGCCCAAAUAGGAUUUUAUUAUUUAGCAAAAAAAAAAUCUCAAGUAUUUUUUUUAACUGAAAAUAAAAAAUUAUUUUAAAUCAUAUAUACAAAUAUUAUUGACAAAUUAUUUUUAUUAUUUUUAUUUUUAUUCCUAUUUUUACUUAACAUUUGAAUGAAAACAAAUUAUCAUUACUACCUCACAUUUCUAUAUGCAUCCAAAUACAAGAGUUGAAACCACUAAAUUCAUUCAUAUUUAAGAGAAAAUAUUAAUAGAAACAAAAUAUUUAUUUUCAUUUCUCAUUCUCACGUACGAAAACACUCCAUUAGAUUAACCAUUGAUUGAAUGCAAAAAAUAAUUUUUAAAUGUUCAAUUCAGAUAAUUGUAUGAUUUGUUUUAAUCAAACACAAAACAUUUGUUUUUUUUUCAAGAUUUAAACAAAUUAUAUAUAUAAAAAAAUAAUAAUGAAUUUUAAAACUCAAUUUUACUUUUUUUUUUAAGUAAAAUUUUCACUACUUAAAUAAAAGGUAAUUUUAUUUAUAAAAAAGAAGUAAAUAAUAAUGGUAAAAUUAUUCUUCUUCUUAAAAGUACUAAAUGGGAUUUUAGAGAAGCUUUAAACAAAAAUAUAAAUAAUUGAAACAUACAAACCUGUGCAUUUGGUAAUGAUUUUAGAAAGUGUUUUUAAUUUUUUUAAUACAUGAAAAAUAAAAUAUUUCAAGUGUAAGAAAGUUUAAAAGCAUUUUAUAAAAUUACUACCAAAUAUACUCCAAGUCAUUAAUAAAAAAGAUUUUAGAAAUUAGAGUAACAUUUACAUGUCAUUUAUUUUGAUGGCAUGUAAAAUGACACGUCAAAUAUAUUUUUUUAAUUUAUAAAAAUAUGAAAAUGAGGGCAUUUUAGGUAUUAUAUUUAAUGAAAUAAAAUGUAUUGUAAUAUUUUUUGGAUUCAAAAAGUGAAAACAGGACAUAUUUUCAUAUUAGGAAAAUGGGAAUUAAUGUCUACAUUUUUUUUUUAAAAAUGAAGACGUGAGAAAAAAAAUCAGUAUACAUAAAUUUUAAUUAUUUAUGAUACAUGUACAUAUAAUAAAGUAUAAUUAUCUAAUUUAAUUUAAAUAAUUAAAUAUUUGGGUAGUGUCAAUUGCUUAGGGCUUAUUUGAUAAUUAUUUUAGCACAUUUGACAAUCACAAUUGAUAACAAAAAAUAUGAUGUUUUCAGAAAACAUAUUUUAAUUUUUUUUAUUUAUUUUAUGUUUUAUGUUUUUACUUGUUUUCUUAUAGAUGUUUUAAAAAUAAUUAUGCAAAUAUAUAGAAGGAUUAAAAAAUAAUUAUGCAAACUUAUAGAAGGAUUAAAAAUAAAACACUAGAUAUAAAUAUUAUUUUAAAAAUAGGUUAAAAAUAUUUAAUAUUUUUAAACAAAAUCUUGUUUUAUAAAGUAUUAGAGAACAAUACUAAAAAAUCAUUCUCAAAAACUAUUUUUGAGAGCUAUUUUCAAAAAUGGUUGUCGAAUUCCAAACCCUAUGCUAAUCUAAAUCCUAAAAAGGUUACACAAGGUUUUGAAAAAUAGUUGUGGAGAACUAUUUUUGGAUUUUUUGUAAAUAAAUAGCUAUUUGGGAAUUUGAGAAAUAUUCUUAAUCCAUUUUUCUAUAUUUUUAAAUAUUUUUUAAAAAUAAAUUUUAUCUGUAAUAUUUUAUUUUGGAUUAUUCUCAAUAUUUGUAUAAUUAUAUUUUAAAAUAUUUGUAAGAAAAUAUUUGAAAAUAAUAAAAUAGAUUAUUAGAAAAUAAAUUUUAUGAAUAAGGAACGAUUUUUUUUUUAAUUUAUUUUUUUAAUUAUCAGGUAUGUCUACCAAACUGUUUUAAAAAACAACGGUAAAACAGGGCCUAGUGUUUUUGUAAUCACAUUAUGUUCUCAUUUCUGUAAUUCUCAACCCUUAUACUACCGCAUUAUUUGAGCAGGCCUGGCCCAACCUGUUAAUCGUGUGAGGGCCUGGGCCCAUAAUUAAUUCCUCUAGCCCAAACCAGGCCCUUAUAUAUCGAAUUAGGAGAGGAGUGUGUCGCGAGAGCAGAGGGAGGAGAGGAGAAAUGGGGAGAAAGAAGGGAACCGUGGAGUUCGAUGAAUCGCCGCCGGACGGGUACGAUCCGGAGAAUCCGUACAAGGAUCCGGUGGUGUAUUUCGAUAUGAGAGAGUAUCAGGUGAGGGAGAAGUGGAUUGACAUAGAGAAAGCCAAGAUCUUGAGAGAGAAGCUUAAGUGGUGUUACCGCAUCGAAGGUGUCAACCACCUCCAGAAGUGCCGCCACCUUGUUCAGCAGUACCUCGACGCCACCCGUGGUAUAGGUUGGGGCAAGGACGGACGUCACCCGUCCCUCCACGGUUCGCCCCUUAAUUCUCUGUUUGGUUUCCAUGGACAUGAAAAUUUUUGUUUGUUUCUAUUUCCAUUCGUUCCGCCAGCUGUUUGAUUUUGUCUUUUGAUUUUAUGGAGCAGGUCCUAAGGUUGAAGCCGAGUCGGAAUGAGCCACCCUGCGUGGAUUGUUCAAGGUAUUGGAAAUUUCUUGGUAUCAUAAUCUGUCGUUAGUUCGUAAUCGUUGAUUGCUACUUCUUUUGCUUUUUUGUUGAAAAUGCAUAUGAACUACUUUUUUCUUUUUCUCUGUCAAACGAAUACUAAAGAUUCGGUUAGUUUCGAUUAUUAUUUUCUCAGCUCUACAUGCUUAGUUACAAUUAUUUGUAUAAUUAUGAUCGUUGUGGCAUUACAUGGUCCUAAAAUUGUAGGGGUAGUAUACAGAUAAGUGGAUUAGUGACUCCAAAUGUUAUGAUUAGUUUAGAUGAUUGGAUCCUGAUCAUAGUCUUAGCUUGUUAAGGUGGCUUGCACCUGUCACCAACAACUUGAAGACAUGUAUAUUUGUUUAAUAUCAUUUAUGGUAGUUUAAACUACUACAGAAUGAGCAAGCAGUGGUAGAGUAGUUUGGAAUGGAGCACAUUAUAAUGGUUGGAAUAAGAUAUCAUGUUGUGCAAUGCUGUGGAACGUUGUAGAGUUGUUGAAAAAGUUGGGAAUAACAGGAGUAUAUUUAGUUAUACAGAAUUAUUUAGAUUUCCAAUUUUAUUGGGAUAUGAGACCAAAUAAAGUUUAUUUGAAAGGAUUGUCUUUGAUGUUGUAUUCUUGAGUACCGUCCCAUGUGGUGCUUUGGUAUCUCAUAUGUUAAUUCAUUUAUUAGUGUAAGCAACCCCGUGUAUUCAAGUGUGUGCUUUGGCUAGGGUUUGCAGUUAGCUUGAAUUCUUGUGUGCCUUACAGGGUUGAGCAAUAAAAUUGGGUGUUUUGAGUGGUUGACAUUCUUAAAAGUGUUAUACAAGUCUAUUAGGAUAGACCACUUAGCAUCCUUGAUUGAAAGGCUGUUUUUUCAUCCUCACCCUCGUUCAACUUUUUAGUCUUUUCCUCUCUUUUUCUUGCCCUUUUUAUUGAAAGGUAAUAAUAAUAUUAGUGAGAAAAAGAGAAAGAAGCAAGGUCUUGUACCAGCAAGGUAUACAUAUACACAGUCACACCUGUAGCUCAAGGAAAGACCAUUUACAAAGUGCAAAACAUUAGGAUUUCAAAUCUUCCAAGAUUACUGUCCAUAAAACCAAAAUAUCACAAUAGUUCAUUCAGUCUACGACCAGAGAGGAAAGGUUCUUGUUCUAAGCUAUUAUGAUUUGGAUUACAAUGUAUAUCAUUCAAACUUUGUGAUUGUAGAUAAAUAGAGAGAUAAAUAUUGGGGGGAGGAUUCAAACUCAAGAUCUCUAGUUAACCCAAACUUUUAUGCCAUGUUGAGUUACCAACUUUCUUAAAAGCCCAAGCUUUUAGGAUUUGGACCCAUAAUGUAUAUCAUGCUCUAACACUUCACUUAAAAGCUCUUUUAGUUCACUCAUCCUAAAUGCAAGACAAAGCAGAAAAGAGGCUGCUGCUUUCCAAUAUUGGAGUUCCUUUUUCAUAACCAUGGACUAAGUCAAUCAAUCACUUUCCAGUUCCUCUCGGAAUUCUAUUAUUGGGUUUAUUACCUAAAGCCUAGUGCAAAUGUGAAUUGCUAAAUUUCAAUGAGAGGAUGGUGAAGAAUAGCAUGAUUUUCUGAAUUUUCCUUACCACUAGCAUAUUCAAAAUCCAGGACAAAUUUUCCAUGUCUACUCAUCAAAUGAUCUAUAGCUAAGAUAUUAUCGCUAUCAGUUGUCACGCAAAAAAGGCAACUUUCAUGGGUGCAAAGUAUUCCCAUGCAGCCUUCAUCAGAAAGUCCUCAUUAUCUGAUGCUUGCCUCAUUUGGAGAAUUUGACCAAUAAAAACCAUUUCUAUUAUCCCCAAACCAACUUGGCCUCCUAUUCACAUCCACUUGAGAACCAGAAACUUGACUGUUACCCCUUUCAUCCUGGUUGAGAAUGGGGAGGUGUGGUUUUAUGUUUGAGGGUGUUGAUUUGGUAGGGCUUUUAAAAUUUUCAUGAUUAGAAACCUUGGGCAACUCAGGCCUCUUAAAAUAGCAUUCUUUGUAUGGAGAAAAAUUUGACUAUUGACCAGGCUAUGCACUAAGCACUGGCAUUUCUAAGUUGCUUGGAUUGCAUCCAUUGGAAACUUCUUGAAAACCAGAAACCAAUUUGUUUAGUGCCGGCAAGCUAUUAAAUUGGUUUUUGAAAAACCAGUUUUCUCAUUGUCCCAAAUAAAAUAAAAUAAUAAUAAAUCACAUUUACCCAGAUCAUUUUGCCAUGAAAUAUGUAACUACAAAGAAAGAUGAGGGAUCCUUCUCUAAUCACACAAUCCUCUAUAUAAAUAUGAUCAAAAGUAAGAAUAAUUGUCUGUUCUAGAAAGCAAAUAUAAUGAUACAAUUGAAAGCAAUUACAAUUGCAAAAUUAAUAAUCCCUGAAAUCAAAUGGUUGGCUCCUCUUUUUACGAACUUAUCCACCAUGGGAUUACUUGAGUGAGGAAUCCAAGUACUGAAGUUUCUAAUUCUAAAGCAAUAUAAAAAAUUUGGUAAAACUAUUCAUCAAACUUCCAUGAGCCGCCUCCUUUCUUAUUCAGCUAGAAUAGGAUGACAACUGAAUCUCUCUUUAUUAGAAGAUUGGAUAAAUCCUGAGAUUUGGUUAGCUUUAAGCCUUUCCACAAAGUACUUUGCCUCCAUGGCAAUUCCAACUCUAGCAUGUUUAGAGAAUGCUCUCACUACUGUUCCAUGAUGAUUCAUAAACCUUAAUCCAAUUUGUAGUGGUCUUGGGUAACCUAAGAAGCACUCAUCAAAAUUCAACCUGACACAAUGCAAUGUAGGAGUCCAUAUAUAGAGUUUCUCCUCAACCAAUAGGUUCCUAUCUAACAAUAUAGUGCUCAAUGGGAUGCCAAUGAAUGUUGCAUUAGUUGAGGCCUAGAGAGGAGGAAAAAUAGAUUAAAUCCCACAUUGUCUCCAAAGUCCUCCAUUUGUCCUAAAAGAUCCUUACAUUUCUCUCCUGCUAUGUAGUCCAAAUUAAUGUGAGACUAGCAGCAUCACACCACAAUGACUUCUCUAAAGGGUGAUUUCCAAAACUGCUUGUGCUUUCCUCAUUAGGGAAAUUGGGUUUAAAAAGAAAAAAAAAAAAGAACCCUUUUAAUGAUUCAGGAGGCUUUUGCAUGAUUAUCACUUCUUUUUUCUUCACUUAUCAACAAUUCUGUUAUUUUUAAUCAAUUAGCAAAGAGAUCUAUUAUAAAAAAGCAGAAGUUGAUUUCUGAAUAUGCAAGGAAUUUGUUAAAUUUGUUGAUAUCAAUCUUUAUCCAUAUUUGGACUGAUGUAAGGGCUAAUUGGUCCCACACUAUGGUUUACUAGUGCAUGAGACAUGAAAAAAUUAGGCCUGAUGAAAGAACAUAAAUAAGUUGUGCUUUCUUUCUGCAGGUGACUGAAAUGGCCAUCUGGUAAUUGCUUAAAGCAGAGGGAUAUUGGAACCUGCCUAUUUAUCAGUUUAGUUUCUUUGCUGUUAAUUGUCUUAUGCUUCAAUGGUUUUCCCUUCAUUCUUGUUAUAUCCAGAUGCCGGAUGUUAUUGGCAUUGGUUUGGAUGUUAGAUCUUUUUGCUUGUUAGCAUCCAGAAACUGAUAAUGAUUUGAACCAAGGCAAUGAAUCCAAAGAUAUCCUCUAUGAAAUAAGUUACAACUUGUGAUUUGUUCCUUGUUGAUAAUGAAUGGCAUCUUUUAUGCAAUGUUUGUUUUCUAAUAAAUGCAUUGCUGGACAUGAUUGUGUCAGAAUUGUCAAAGCAUUUUUUUUGUUUUAAUUUAAGAAUUUAUUUAUUUAUUCUGAAACUUGGUCAAUUGAAAAUUUGACUUUGUUCAGGAGUAGGCAGUUUGGGAGGUUUAGGGUCUACAGAACUAUGGUAGAUGUCUUUUGUGUUCACCCAUUCACUGCCAGAUGUUUUCCUGGACUAUUUGUUAGACGAUGGUAAAAGGAAAAAGAAAUGUGAUUUUAUGCAGUUUUGUUCAUUUCAAAUGCCAAAUACAAAGUAUUAUAGCUUGAUACUCCUCUUUUGCAACUUCUGCUUCGGAACUUGGGAAGCACAAAAUAGGUCAACUUAUCUGGAGUCUUGCCCUCCACCCCAAACAGACUAAAUUCAUCCAAUUAAGUGAAGCAAAACAAUAUCAAAUUUAGUGCUUGUAACGUUCUGAUUUUUGAAGGCAGUAAUGAAACAAGUCUUAGAGACAAUAAGAAGUAAUGGCCUUUUCUUGCCCAUCUCUUAGGUGCUUUUAAUAUAUUUACUUCUUUGCCUAGGAAAAAAAAAAAAAAAGAAGACAAGAAGUAACAUUUAUGAUUUACCUUUUCAAAAAGCACUGUGAAGAGUCCUUUUUUUCUUAGUCUUAGGCUCCAAAGUAGGAUUAGUGAUGCUAUUGAGACAUGCUGAUUGGACACCAUCUUAAUGAUUACAAUAUAGUUGGGACUGUGAAAGCAUGGAUGAUAGGGUUUUUGAUUUCAUGAUGUGGUUUUCUAAUGAGACUAUAAGAAAUCAAGGAUGGUAGCUGCUUUCCUACCUUGAGAUAUUGUGUGCGCAUAGCCACAGCUGGAACCUCUCAAACUCAUCACUCUUCACUACUCUUCUUUCCUGGAAAGCAGACAAACUUGAGGAAAUUAAGGUUAAAUGUGUGAAGGAGCAGAUUAGUGACAACUAAAAUGAAACAACCAUAAAAACUAAUUAACAGUUAUAAUGAAAAUCCUAUCACAGAAAUGGAUAAUGACUAUAGACCAGGUCUAGAAGGAAACAUAUAUUUCUUGGGAAAACUGAGAUCUGCCCUGGGAGCUCCCUUCAGUCCAAUGAGUGGGCAAAGCGUGCGGAGGAGUUGCUCCCAUGUCAUGCAUCAGGCUAAACUUAGCAUUUGUCACUCCACAGCCAUACUCGAACCGAAUUGAUUGAGAAAAGAAUAAGCAUAGCCAAGUGCAUGAGAUGGCAGCUCUGGCCGCCCCUCAGCCCUCUUUAUUGGACUAAAAGGAGCUCUUCAGCUGUUCCCCCAAAUCAUGUAUUAUCCUGCACAUGCCUCUCCCUCACACGCACAUAUGGUAGUAGUAGAAGAGAAUGAGAAGGAGCAGAAAGGUAUCACAUGCUCCCUCCCUUGUGCUUCCUUUAAACGCAGCUUGUCACUCCCACAAAAAAUGUUUUAAGAUAUGCUGUGAAAGUACCUUUUCCUGGGAAAGAGAUUCAUGGAAAUCCUCUCAUUUCAUUUUCAGAUUUUUCACCACAUUCCUGGAUUUAUAUAACCCUUGGCUCCGAGCAUCAGCCUUACCAGUCUUGUGCCAAUUGCACUGUGCCAUAUAACACAGCACGUGUAUGUCAUGCAUACCAUGUUUGCUUCUUCUCUGUGCUGUAGUUGUGGAUAGUGGAUGCAUCAUCAUGUCUACCCAUUGGUUUGAUGUUCUGGUCUAGCUUUUCUUGAACUGUUGUCAACUUUGGUGAAAGAAUCAUCGAACCAUUUUAUAAGUGAGAGAAUCAUUGGUUAUAUUGGGGUUUUUUUUUGGCACAUUUUUGGGUGAGUAGAUUAAUAAUCCCCAGGCUACUAGGUUCUCUGCCAGCAUUCUGACAUUUGAAAAUAAUUCAAAACUUUAAAUAUGAAUCUUUACCUUCUUUCUACAUUCUGAUUAUGCUACACUCCAAACUUAUCUUAGAUGGCAGUGCAUACAAGUUUCCACAUUUGACUUCUGGCACAUAAAAGAAAAUCAUAGAAGAGUGGAGCAUAGGUAUAGGAUGGUCAAAGGGCAAUUGAAUACAGCCAUCCUCUGAACUAUGUAAGUUGCGGAGAAAGGACAAGGCUUUUAGCAUAAAAUUGUAAAAGUAUUGGGGCAAUGAAAUCUCGAAAAGAGAUUCAAUAGUACUGCAUUAUUCGCAUGAGGUCACUUCUGAGUUCUGGCUUUCUCAAGUCUCAACAGCAAACACCCACAGCAACCCUUUUUCUUCUUCACUCCACAGAACUGCUCAAAAGCAAAAGGCAGAGAGCAGUACUCUAAUGCCCCGCUUUGCUACUGUCAGACCCACCAUACUCAAGUGCACCCCAACUCCACAUCCUCUGGAUUAGUCAUCAACUCAAGGCUAGUCCUUGUGAUGAAGGGUGGUAGGGGUGACAUCAUGGGUUCCGUGUGUAUGGUACGGCUGUGAACUUAAGUGUUUGUCCUGCUUCCGAUAUGUGGGAUUCUGAUUCUCUUUUGCAAUAUGAUUCCAGCUGAAAUGCUGAAUCCCUCCUUCACCUAGGAAAAUAAUGAAAUGAUAUAAAAAAAAAGCUUUUUUUUUUUUGGUAAUAAGAAAAAUGGAUUAGCAACAGAGCAGAUGCAGUAAGAAGAAUGGGAGAAUGAGUAAAGCAGAGAAAGUCACUGCUGUAUUCUGCAUCUCUCCUCCAUACUUGUGAAGGAAGGACUCUUGUUUAUAGCCUUAUAGGCUUGUGGGUCAUAAAAGUAGCCAUACAUAACUUGUCCAAUGAGGGGCCUUCAAGAAGAUCGGUGGCACAGAGGGCUUCCUCUUGGGAGCCAAGAGCCCUCCUGGUCUUUCACUAACAAGCUCAAAAUGAAUGGGGGUUGUAAUUGCAUCGGAAAUUUUUAUACUUUUGACCUUUAUGUGGGAGACGCAAGAGAGAAAAAGAGUUUUAGAGAAGCAAAGGAGAAAUCUUUUUAACGAGUUUUAAACUCUUUUUUCCCCCCUUUUUCUACCUUAUUUUCUUUUCUACAUUUUGCCCUAAUUUUCAAGUUCGUGGAAAUAAAUAAAUAAAUAUGAUUAAAAUUAUUUAAUACACAUUUUGAAAUUCUUUAUUUUCCUAUUUUUUUCCCUUUUUGUAUGGAAGGAGAAAAAGAGAGAUUAAUUAAGAGAAAUAUGUGAUGGAUUUUGUCGGUUUAAGCCUAAUUUUUAUUUUUUUUCAUUUCUUUUGCAUUUUUCUAAAUAUUUUACUUCUCUUUUCUCCAAACUUUAAGAUAGAAUGAUAAAUUUUCGGAUUCAAAAAGUGAGUAGGAGAGAAAAAGGAGCUCCUUUCUUAAAAAUAUUUUCCUGUUUCUUUAAAAUAAGAAAAAUAUUUUCUAACUUCAAAAAUGACAAAUUUUAGAUUGAAAAUAGUUGUACCAAAAUUCAUUUUGUAAAUGGUUUUUAAGAAGUUAUUUAAACAAUUUGGGCAUUUUACUACAUAACAAAACCGAUAUGAAAAAUAAUUGUGUUAAAAACAUAAGCUCAAAUAUUAUCUAAUUAUUACAUAUAUAUAUAUAUAUAACCUAUUUAACCCAUUUAAUAUUUGAGUUCUUUUUUUUUAAUAAUCUAGUUAAAUUAAGUCUUAUAUAUGACUUAAUUAACCUAUUUUUUUAAAAAUAAAUUUUAAAUAAGUCAAGUAUGGAUUAAAUAAUUUAAAUAUAUAAUUAUGUUAAUACUAAGAUUAUUAGAUAGGUAAAUUUAUGUUAAAUUUGUUUUACAGACCUAAGAAUUAUCUCUAUUUGUUAAACGGGUUAAAUGGGUUGAUAUAAAUUUUACUCAAAUUUAUUUAUAUUCAACCCAAAUAUGCAAACGGGUAAAUUAUAUCUAACUUUUUCACUCCUAUUUUCAAAUAUUUUUGUUGUCGCAUGGUGGAUAUUGAAAUGACCUCCACGCACAGCAUAGGCCCAGGCUCCAGUAGACGCUGUGGAUCACUCUUUUGGUUGUUGCCUGCAACUCUGCAACACUCCUAACAUGAUAAGUACAACUAAAAUAACUAAUCAAAAUAGGGUCCAACGGCUACAAAAAAUCUGAGGUAUGGUACCUCCCUCAGCACCAUAGAAGUUUCCUUUAGUUAUAUGAUUUCCAUGCAUCCUAAAAUGUGGUUGCAAUGAUGACAUUAUUUCAAACUAUUCAAUUCUGUUCAGUCGCCUUCUCUGCUGCAACUCGUUUUGUCUUUUGUUUUGUCUUUGUUUUGUUUGUUUUUAAACAUGGGCAAGGCCAUCACUCCUUUCUUCUUAAGCUUAUGCUUUACACUUUUUUUUUUUUUUUGCUUUCUUUUUUCUUUUUCUUCAGUGAGAUUGUUGGUUGUUUUGAGGUGAGUCCUACACCCUCCAUUAAAGAAAUCUCAUAUUCAUGAAUAUUCCAGAGAUGAGAAUGCUAACUAAGAAACACCCAUAUGAAAAAAUCUUACAUGAUGCAUGCCAUAUAGUUGCAUAUGCCUUGCAGAUACACCGGAAGAAUUCACAAUCUCAACCCCUUUAUGUAGAUGGUUUGUUUCAUAAAAAAACAAAGAACUUCCGGUGGCGAGUUCCCCUCCACGUGUUCUUUUCUAACUCAAGACACUUUGGCCAUCCAGGACAAGUAUGAAAUCCAAUCAAAUAGUUGCAUUCAAACUAGGUUAAGAUCCGUUUGACACCAGAAGUGAGGGGAUUCCUUUUCCCUACAGGGCCCACGGUAUUAGGAGUCUGAACUUCCAAAAGGAAAGGACUACCCAAUCAUAUCUUAAAGACCUUUGGCAUGCAUGAUCAUUCAUGCUUGACAUUUGAGUGGUUGAUGGGACUCCAUUCGUCUACAAAUCCAUUUCAACUAAUUACUACUCAUAAUCCAAGACGACGAUGGAUUGAAGGGAUAGACAACUGUACAAUCCGAAAUCUCAGCACAUCAAUAGAUGGCACCUACCAGCCACCCUUAACUGUGAUGAUUUCCCAACAGCUCUCAAGACAUUCAUCAUUACAGAAGAAGGUCAGAAUGCCUAGUCAGCACUACAAUGACUGUGCCAUUAGCUCUAUAAAAACCUUCUAAAAAGUACGAACAAGGGAUAUGCAUGAAAAAACUCAUCCUCUCUUAAAAAUAAUUAGUACUACUCUUAUCUGACUUAAGCUUCGAAGGGGUGUACCCAGACUACUUGUUUGGACAUCCUUUUAUAUAGGAAAUAAGUCUAUUGAAUAAAUAGACUUUUGGGAUUGAUCAAAAUUAGAGUUUAACUCUAUAUCCUUAAGACAAAUUUCACCCUGUUCAUAUGCUUAUGAUAUAUGUGAUUGUUUCUCAUGAUACAACGAUCACUUUCUUGUGAGAAUAACACUCCAAAUUAUAAUAAACAACGAAUCGUUUGAUGAUUUGUACCUUUUUAAAUAAAAAAUAAAAAAUAAAAAGCUUAGUAAAAAAAAUGACCAAAUUUGAAACUAAGGACUUGAAAGUUUAAGAAAUGAGAAAGGAGUGAAAAAAAUGGAUGAAUAAGAAAAUACAAGGAACCUAUUUAUAGAUUUUGUUAGUGACUAUAAGACAAAGAUGUGUCUUUAAGGCACUAGACAUAUCAUUUGAAAAAUGUUAUGUCUUUAAAAUAUUAGACUCAUCAUUUGAAACAAGUUGUAUCUAUUAAAAAAUAACAUGUCUUCCAAGAGAAAAAAAAGACUUAAUUUCAAUUCCAUAAUCACCCUUAAACAAAAACUCGUUAUUUUCUUUUAUCAAUAUCGUUAGGAUCAUUACAUUUCUUUUUAGAUUAAUAUUUAGAGAAAGAAACACAAAGAAUAGAUCAUUUUUAUUUUUAUUUUGUAUUUUAUGUAAGUGUAUUAUGCCUUCAAAAUUGAAAAAACUAUUUUUCAUAUUUGAAUCCUAAAUAAAAUUUGGCUUUUCGAAAACCUAUGAAUAUUUUUAAGAAUUAUUUUCAAAAACUUAUUCUAUUAGAACAGCUCCAAAGCAAUGUUGUCAAAUAAGCUUAAUAUUUCAAGUUUAAGAAUGGUUUUUGAAGAUGCAGCUAAACAAACCUAAGAUUUCAAGUUUAAGCCUAUCUAAAAAUUAAGGUUGUAUUUGAUUUUUGAAAUUUUGGGGGAAAAAUACGAGGAAAUGAAAAUAUAGAAAAAAGUAGCAAAAAAAAAAAAAAAGUGUUGGAAAAUAAAAAAAUGAUUUAAUUCUCAAUAAAGUGUAGUAAUCUCAUGCUUACUACCUUGACAAGUGAACGCACUCUUUAACAUGACCUUGAGUAUAUAUACUACUCAAGCAUAGACUUGGCAGUACUGAUCAUAAGAUGAUAACAGCACUACAAAUCAAAAACACUUUGUUUUUGGACUGGUAAAAUGUGGUAGCAAUGAUGACAUGAUUUCAAGCAAUUCAAUUCUGUUAUGUCGCCUUCUCUGCUGCAACUCCUUUCGUGUUUUGUUUUGUUUUGUUUUGUUUGUUUUUGAAUAUGGACAAGGCCGUCACUACUGAUCCUUUCUUCUUCAGCUUAUGCUUUUCUUCCUUCUUCUCCAUUUUUCUUUUUGGCACUGAAUUGGUAAUUUGAGGUGAGUCCUACACCCUCCAUUAAAGGCUUCUCAUAUUCAUGAUCCUAGAGAUGAGAAUUGACUGAAAAACCCACAUGAAACUCAGUUCUUGAACAACUAAUCAAUCAAUUGUAGAAAUGAAAACAAUCUAUGAGAUUUGUGUGAAAUAAAUAUAGCCAGUCACUGUUUCAUUGUCAAAAUUAAAUUAGUUACAAGUCUACAACUCCUCUAUUUUCUUCUUCUUUCUUGCAGUGCAGUUGGAGAUGUAUGCUAUAUAGCUGCAUGCCUUGCAGAUACACAUCAAGCAUUGAUCACAAUCUCAACCCAUUUAUGAAGAUUGUUGUUCCAUAAAAAAAACAAAGAACUUUACAAAAUUGAAUGAUGUCUAAGAAGAAAAGAGAGGGUUGUAGCUAGCUAGGUACAAGGUUGAAGGUGCUUAAGAAGCUAAACUCACUUCAACUUAUUGUACAAUAUAUAUAUAGCCAUCAGAAGUCCAACCAAAACAUACCAAUUUUGCUAGCAAAUAAGCAAACUUGGCAGUUGACGGUUAUUUAACAUUCAAGAUAGGAAAACAAGGUCCUGCAGCAAAGGAUGCCCUCUUCACAAACCUUCCUUUCAUUCUAGGCCUUUUCUCCGCAUUCAAUUUCCUAACCUCGUACCUUAUCUUCUUGGAAAACAGCCUAGUCCUUCGCUUCUCUCGGUACCUCAACACUCUUGCUUCUCUACCCCCAUCCCUGCCUCCAAAAUUUCCUCCCACUCCUCCCACAUCUCCACACGGCCCAUGAACAUUUGUAGGACAAGCACCCUGAAAGAUUCAUCACAAAAAUGGCAAUUGUAAGCCAGUCAUCACUAUUUGAUCAAAUUAUAAUUAAGGGCAUUCAACAUUAAUAAAUACUUUGGAUCAUCAUAUAUAGAUAUAUAUAUAUAUAUAUAUAUAUAUAUAUAUAUAUAUAUAUAUAUAUAUAUAUAUAUAUAUAUAAACAUGCAUCUCUUCAAUUGGAUUUUAUGUUUGUGUGGGGGAGAUUACCAUGUAGUCUGGCCAGUAGUCGUUGGGAUCGAAUUCUGGACGAUUUCCUGUUGUCCAUGGAGAGCCUUGGCUGGCCCAGGCAGUGAUGACAUCCUCGUAAUUAAGACUCAAAGAUAUCUUUCUCCUCAUCUCCACUGCAGCCACCAUCUUCUCCUCAUGUUCCUCCUCGUCCAUUACAGUUGACUCAUAAUCUAAGUUCCAUGCUAACAAUUCUUUUGUCAUGUCCAAUUCCGGGUCCAGAUGGAAGGUUGCAUCAGUUUCCACUCGUUCCUCUUUAACUUUCACCUUUUGGUCUCCAAAACAAGCAUCCAUGUCACCUUGCUCACAAUCCAAGACACCUAUUCCUUUGAUUCCGCACGAGUCCUCAUCCAGGCCUGCUCCUAGAUAGCUCUCAACAUCAGCAGCAAACUCUGCAAGAUCCAUUUCUGAGGGCAGAAACCCAGUUAGAGAAUCCAAGUCACCUAUUUCUUCAUGUCCGUAAUCCGAUAAAGGCUUUGAAUCAUUUUCCAUGCCGAUUUCACGUAUCCCGUCAUUGUUGAGUUCCGCAACGAAGGGAUCAAAGGUUGGAACCCGAAAAAGGAACUGCUCUUCAUUCUCAUCAGGCGAUGCUUCUUCACUCCCAAUCUCCGGAACAAGUGGGGGAGGAGUUGGAAACUUGUUCUCAUGUUUAGAUGGUUGCACCGAGGUGCGCUUCACAUUGCGUGGGCUUCUGGCCUUGCGAGUGAACCCCUGGUGCCAGGCGGGAGUAGAAUUAUCACGCAUUGAGUCAGCGUUCUUACAAGACGCGGCCUGGAGCCGAACCCUUUCAUGCCUUUCGGCUAAUUGGUUUGCCGAAUGCACUGAUGCAUCGCAUGCUUGGCAUAGGAAAGCAUCAUCAGCGCCACAGUACCAACGAGCCCGCUUGUGCAGGCAGUUAUCGCAGGCCCUUGCAGUCUUGCCUCCCAUGGCAUUUGCAACUUUCUUGUCAGUGAUCAUGGAAGAAGAGAGAGGAGAAGAAUAUGGAAAAUUGGGCAGAAACACAGAAACUAAAGACCCAGAACGAAGCGCAAAUUGUAACAGCUAGCGGUGACUCUUCAUAUUAGUGGGAGGGCCAAAUGAUGGAGUUAUGGGGCCCAUGAGCCCACACACAGAGGGUUGCAGCGAAUGGGCGCUUUGCCCAUGCAAUUUUUGGUUGGUUUUGUCCAUGAAAAGAGAUUGCUAGUUUGGGGACUUAUCUCGAUGCUGAAUGGCUGAAGUUAUGAAAUAUGUCCUAUUCUCCGCCUUCUUGUGGCUCUCUCUUUGAGUCAUUUGGACCCUACUGGAUUGUGGCCUUGAGAGAGCCUUUGCUGAGGGUGGGCACCAUGAAAAUUAACUCUCUCCCUCUCUCCCUCUCUCUCUCGUCUCUCUCUGUGUCUCUCUCUGUUUCUCUCUCAAAAUUUCAAUUGUCAAUAUGAAGAGGACCCAUUUGGUGUUCUGUCCUCUACAUUUCAAUUAUUCAUGCUUCAACUUUAUGGUCUUUGUUUGCGGUCCCCUAUGGUUGCAAUCACCACUGUCUCAGCCUCUCUCUCACAGCUUGAGUUAGAUCCAUUUGCUGUUUUGUCUCUACAUUUCCAAUUAUUCCUCUUACAACUUUAUAAACCUUGUUUGCAUGCUCUAUAGUUGCUUUCAUCUCUGUCUCUCCCUCAACGCCUCUUAGCCACUCUCCACCAGUUAACGCAUUUGCAGUCGAAGAAGCAUCCAGAUGCUCCUCUUUCAACUUAAAUUCAUUCCCAUCAUGCAUUUCUCCCAUUCAUGACCCACCUUAGUCUGUGACCUUUUGGAUCCAUAGUUGGUCCUCCUUAAUAAUUCAUGUAGCCCAACUUCACUUACAUAUUUGAUGAAUUUUCAUUGAAUCAUCAUUUUGUAAAUAUUGAAAGAUUUAGUUUUUCAUAUGUUUUACUACACCCAAAAUUAAAUUGACAUAGCCCUCGUUUGGGAUUUCUGCUUUUCACUUUAAUCAGAGAUUGAAAUUCAAGUAAAAUUUACACUUCUUAAAGAUAUCAUAAGUAAAAAAAACACAACAUUUUUUUUAAUUAUAUAUCAAAUUCUUUUUUUAAGUUUAAAAAAGACUUUUUUAUUUCUUAAAAGUCAAUCCAAGCAUGACUUAAUGAUUUAAUAUAGCUUUUUUUAAAAUACAUGUAAAAAUAUAUAUAUUUAAGGUUAUGUUUGGUUUGAGAAAAAUUUUAAAGAAAAUGUGAAGAAAAAUAAAAGAUAAAUUUAAAAUUAAUAAAUUAUAUUAUAUGUUGUUUUAAAUUCAUUUCAUUUAUUUUUCUUUUUAUGUAAAAAUUAAUAAAUUAAAAAUAUAUAAAAUAUUAAUUAAUUUUAAUUAUAUUUAAUUUUCUUUUCCCUUUUUCAUAUUAAAACUAAACAUAAAAAAAAAAAAAAAAAAAAUUUAAUAUUUUUUUUCUUUUCUUAAUAUUUCACGGUAGCCGAGCCUAAUAGUUGAAAGUGGGGAUUCUUAGGCCAGGUAUAAUACUUCUUUAGUUCUUCAUCUAUUGGACAAAUGGUCCCAUUCCUGAGUGCGUUGUUGAAAAAAAAAAAUCACUAAUAUAGGAUGACGUUGGAGAUAUUUUCUAUUUCUGCUUUAAAAAUAAAAUAAAAUUAUACAAAAUAUAAGUACAUUUUUGUAUUUUUAAAAAUUUUUAACGUUUGAGGAAAUAAAAAAUUUUAAUUUCCUCAAAAUUUUAAAAAUUUAAAAAGAAUUUUCAAGAAUAUAAGAUAAUUCUUUAGUUUUUUUAUACAUAGGUUAUUAUAUUUUCUAUUAAAAAAUAAAAAAUAAAAAAUAUAUGCAAACUUCACCUACAGCCUUUUAGCAUUUCAAUUGCAAAACCAUCACUUACAAGUCAAAGUUGUUAAUGAAAUAAAAAAAAAAAUCUUUAAAUCUCAUAUCAAAAAGUAUAAUCUAAUUAAAAGUCACUAACUAUGUUUGACAGCUAUUUUUAAGAACAAUUUUUAAAAAUUAUUUUUUGAUAUUUUUUAAAAUAAAAGUCUGUUUGAAAAUCUAAAUUAUUUUUAACAUGUUUUUAAUAUUUUAAAAUGUGCUUUAAAAAUAAUUUUUAUGUUUGAUAUUUUAUUUUUAAUCAUUUCAUAUAUUUAUAUAGAUAUUUUUUUAAACAACUUUUAAAAAACUACAAAAAACAACUAAAAAAUAUUAUAUGAAAAUAUCAUAUUUUUUGUUCUUAAGAAUAGACGACAGAAAACAUUUUUUGAUUACUAAACCUGUUUUCUAAUUUUUUUGUUUUGAAAAACGAAAAAUUUGUUCUAAAAAAUAAUUACCAAACAUGCCCAAUCUUUCUAUAUCUUGCAUGUCAUCUCAUCUUUUUAUAUUUAAGAAAGGUUUUUUACUAUAAUAAUGAAUUUAUACAUAUCAAAAAAGUGGAACCAAUUAUGAUGUAAUACAUAUGUAAUUAGAUUUUAUUGUUUUACACGUAAAUCCGUUACAUUAUUUGUUGGAAAGUGUUACAAAUUCCUAACCCAAAUUCUUAAUUAAUAUUCCUAAAUUGAUAUAUUAUUAUAAUAUUAUAUAUAUUUUUAUAUAAAUAAGAAAAAUUAUUGAAAAUAUCUUUAUAAAUAUUUUAGGUCAUGAGAGUAAAAAGUUAUAAAAUGAAAAUGAACUUAUAAAAAUUAUAUAAAAUGGAUGGAGAUAUGAUAAAGAAUAGAAAACACCUGAUGGUGGGAAAAUACAUAAUAUUUUAGGAAUCCAACAAUUAUAUAUAAUUUUAUCCUUUAUAAUAUUCUAUAUAAUAUGAUAAAAUGAUUUUUUUCUCUUAUUUAUGAAUAUAAACAUAGUUAACGGAACCACGUCAAAACCCCAUCUUUAUAUGAAUUAUUUUAUUUUUGUAUUUUUCAAUUAACAUUGUUUUCAUUAAAGCUUCUGUUGCCAUAAUAUUAUUUUAUAUUAUGAUUUUAUUGUUAUAUAAGUUGGUGUCAUUUUUUAUCAUUUACACUCUCAUAAAAAGACAUAAAUUUCAAGGUACAUUUUGAUCUAUGGAGGUCACAAAAUCGAUGGCUAAGGUUUAGGAGCCUAACGUUUUCCCUGUUAUGUUUGGUUCCUUAAAAAUACUAAGGAAAGAAAAAAAAAAUGUAAAGAAAAAUGAUUUAUUCAUGUUUGGUUGUCUUAUGAAAAAAAAAAAAAACAAAUAUAAUUAAAACUAAUUAACACUUAUGUAUUUUUAAAUUAUUUAAUCUUUAUAUUGAUAAAUUAAAAUAAAUAAAAUAAGUUUCAAGUAACAAAAAUAAUAAUUUAUCAAUUAUUUAUUUAUUUAUUUAUUUAUUUUUCGUUUUUUUUUUUUCUACUUUUCCUUUGCAUUUUCUUUUGCGGACGUUUUUCUUCAAAUUUUUUGAGACCAAACAUAGCCUAUAAAAGAAUCAUUAGGAAGGUACAUUGAAUUGAUGUAACAUCUAACAUAAAAUCCAGGAGAGGCCGUGUGAAAUGUUUGGUACUAGAUUGUCUCAGUUACAUCCAUUUAAAUGGAUAAGUCUUAGAAAUGAAAAGAAUCUUGGGUAAUAUCAAAUAGAUGCUGGUGAUGAUGACGAUGAUGGGGCUUGUGGGGUGUAAAAUCAGGGAGCUGAGGCGACAUUGUGACUAGGAUUUUGAUUGAAGUUGUUGCACACAUGUUGCAUUUUCUGAGGUCUGCCAGUUGAACUCAUCUCCAUCGUUACGUGGUUGUUGGAGCAGUGAGGCCCGUGAGGGCCACCCAUUAAACUAGAUCGCUACCAAAAAAAAAUUCAACCGAAUGUGGGCAUCCACCUUAAUCCGAGGAUAAUCAUCCUCAUUUGUUUUUCUGGUUUUUUUUUUAAAUAUCAUUUUUAAAAAGUAUUAAACCCGAACCCACUCUCCUAUCAAGUCAAAUUUUGAUAUCACAUUGAAUUAUCAUUUUUUUUAAAUAUUUGGUUCCGAAAAAUUUGAAGGAAAAUAUGAGGGAAAGAAAAUAAAAAAGAAAAAUGAAAUAAAAGAAAAAAUGAAGUAAAAUUAAUAAAUUGUUUUUAUAUGUUUUUUUCAAACUUAUUUUAUUUAAUUUUUUUGAUUAUAUAAAGAUUAAAUAAUUUUAAAAGGUAUAAAUUUCUAAUUAAUUUUAAUUAUAUUUAUUUUAUUUUUUUAUAGUGAAGUCAAACAUGAAAAAAUCAUUUUCCUUUAUAUUUUUUUUCUUUCCUUGGUAUUUUUCGGGAACUAAACAUAAAAACGUUUAAAUUUAUAGAAUUUGAAUGCAUAAUGUAUAUUAUAUAUUUUAACACUCUUCCUCACGUAUGCUUUGAUGUUUCCUUGAACUAUCAAUUUUCCUAAAAAUUUAAGUAUGUAGGAUUUGGAUGCAAAAUGUAUAUGAUAUACUUUAACACCAUUCCUCACGUAUACUCCAUUCUUAAGCUUACAUUUAAACUUAAUAAAUUAGAUAAAUAAAUAUGCAUCAAGGAGGGCUGAACACUUAAUCUCCCUUUAGACAAAUCUAUCAUAUUAAAUUAUCAAUUUUCUUAAAAAUUUAAACUUAUAGGAUUCAGACUCAAUAUACAUAUCAUGCUCUUUAACAUUUUUUUAUCACUUAUUUUAUUUUCUAUUGAACUCUUUUUAUUUUCAUUUUUUAUUUUUUGCAUUAAAACAAUGAGUUUAAAAGACGAAUUUACUUUUAUACUAAAUUCAUCUCUUUAAAAAAUAAUUUCCACUUGAAAUUCAAAACAAUGGUAACUUUAGAACGAUUUUUUAUUGUAUGGUUUUUUAAAAAAUAUUUAAAAAAAUUAUAUUACUCCUGCUAGAGACCUCCUUUUUCCACUUAUUAUAAAUUUGAUAAUAUUUUUAAAACUAUUAGUCUAUUACAUUUUAAUUUCUUAAUUUACUUUAUUUUUUAUUUUUCAAAAUCUCCUCUCGACCUCCUAUUUAUUUAUUUAUAUUGGAUUGAGGCUUAGAAUUUGGCCGGAUGCAAGGCCAUGCCAAAUCUAUCUAUUUCUUCAAUUAAUGCCAAAUUCAACUUGAGAUCAGUUCGAAUCAUAUCAAGUGUGCAAGCAGCUUGACUUUCUGAGUCUUGGCCAUGAAUUAUUACUAAAUAAAAAACUUAAAAUUGACUCUUUUAAUAAAAAAUAAUUAUCUAAAAAAUAUAAAAUACAAUUAUAUUAUAAAAUAAGAUCUCUCGAAAUCAUAAAAUAUAUUAUCAAUUAUUAAUUUAUAUUAUUUAAAAGGAUGUUUGUAUUUUAUACCUCAAAAUCAUAACAUUGACUUAUUUAUUUUAUGUUAGCCAAAUCAUGUAUACAUACAAAUAAAAAAUAAAAAAACAAUGAUUAAUGUAUGGAGUGCACUAACACUCGACGAUCUACUAAUAAAAAGAAACUAGAAGAAUUAUAAUAGUGAAACUCUCUAAAUCACCUUUUAAUUGCGGCCGCAUUCUCUAAAAAAUAAAACUCUAAAAUAUAAAAUGGUUAAAUAUAUAAUAAGGGGUAAAUUCGUAACUCAUUUCAUGAAAAAAAUAAAAAAUAAAAUCUCUAGUACAUGUUUGUCCCUUCAACCCUUGCGAGUUAACUAGUUGAUUUUUGUGAGCUUAGCAAUAAGCUCGACCUCCACGAGUGAACUAAACAACUUGACCCUUGACAUCAUGAGUGAAAUGUAACAAAUCUAAUUCAAGAUUCAUAUUAAUCCAAUAUUUUAUUAAACUUGAUAGUUCACUACCUAUCAAACCCUUUUUGUUCCAAAAUAAAUAAAUUAUAAAAAAAAUUGUCUUAUUUUUAAAACAAAUAUGUAACAAAAAUUCAAGCCCUUAUUAUUAUUUUCAUUCCCACCAAAUCACCAACACACACGAACAAAAAAUAAAUAAAACACAAGAUUUCUAACAUGGUUCGACAAUCAAUGUGAUCUUUAUGUCCAUGGAAUGCACUAAUACUCAACAAUUCACUAAUAAAAAAGAACAAUAAGAGUUAUAAUGGUGAAAGUUUUUUAAAACACCUUUCAAUUACGACUGUACUCUCUUUGAAAAAAAAACAUUUAAAAUAUAAAAGGAUGAAAUAUAUAAUAAAGACAAACUCAUCAUUCAUCUCAUAAAAAAAAAAUUCUCCACAAGGUGCUACCCCCUUCGACCCCCCGCGAAUUAACCAGACAACUUGAUAAUUGCAAGCUCAACUGUGAGUUUCACACCUUACGAGUUGACUAGGCAACUCAACUUUCAACAUUCUAAGUGAAACACAAUAAAAUUGAUUCAAACUUUAUAAUCUAACAUUUUAUUAGUCUUGAUAAGUCACUAACUAUCAACCCUUUUUGUUCCAAAAAACCAAGCUAUAAAUGUUUUGUAUUAUUUAAAACAAAAAUACUUAUUAUUAAAACAUAUCAAAAAAAAAUUAUUUCCAUUUCCAUGAUAUAGAAGUGAAGUCUUGAGUUGUUAUUAUUAUUUAUUCUUUACUUGAAUAAAAACCCAAAAAAAAAAACACCUAUUAUUUGUUAAUAACAUAUGUGAUGAUUAUACAAGAAAGUCCAAAACACCUUAUUCCAAACUUGAAAGUUUGUUGUACCUUUCACUCUUUAUUUGUCCUUUAUUAACAUAUUAAAUUUAUAAAAUAUUAAUUAGAUAUAGUCAUGCUAUUUCUUUAAUUUCUAUUUGUUAAAUAAAAAAUCUGAAUUUAUGAAAGUGCCUAAACCAUACUUUUAAUGGAAAUUAAUUUUGAUAUCUAUAAAAUUUUAUACACUAAAAAUUUAUGGGUGAAAUCCUGGAAAGAGUUUAAGAUAAAGAUAAAUAAAUUUACGGUGAGUUUUAGAAGUUUUUAAAAACCUACUAGUAUGACUUGUUUGGAUUUGAUUAUAUAUAAUUUUUGUUUUUAUAAAUAAAAAUAUUAUUUCUAUAUCCAUCUCAUUUUGCCCCGUUCUAUUUAAAAACAAAAUUUGGACAAUAAUGAAAAUACAUAUAAAUAAAUUAGACGGAGUAGGGAUGGGGUCAAUUGACUUGAGUUGAACCCGUUUCAUUAAUGUCAUUCCUAUUUGCGACCACCACUUGCAAGACACAUGGCGAUAAUUUAUAAUAACAAAAUCAUAUAAACAUAAACCCUCAUUUCAAAAUAAAUAAAGUGACAAGUUGUAAAAUCAACAAACUAAAGCACGAAAUACUUAGACUAAGAAACACUCCACUAGAAGAAUUAGAGGUUUGGUUACUUCUAGAAUCGGAUGCAGUCCCUGCACCAAAAACUGAAAACGGGGAUGGAGCCGAAAAUGGAGAUGGAGAUGGAGACAAUGAUAUGGAUGGGAACAUGGUUUCCGGAGACGGGGAUGCCAUGGGCGAUGUCUCCCAGUAACUCUCAUUACCUGCAAUACAUUCAUCAUUAGUGUACGUACUCAUAAAUAUUAGAGUUGGAGAAAGCUUCUGAAUGGAGGAAUUUCUCAAGCUCGAUGGCAAUUACCUGAGCAAUUAACAUGAGAAGAAUUUACCAAGCUGCACCAAGAGAAAAAAAAUUAGGAACUUUUAACAAAGCUUUACAUACGUAGUGAAGAAAAGCAGUAGUUGAUUUGGUCUACAUAUAUCUUGGACAUGCAGGUUCUGUAAAAUUAUUUGGUCAUAUUUGGCUUGAUUUUUAGAAAAUGGGAGAGCCCCACAUGAAUAAAAGGGUUGUCAUACCUUCUGAAAAUUUUCCGACCGCCAUGGCCACGGUACACACAAGUGGUGAUGUUGCACCCAGCAGGAGUUUUGGUGACAACCACAUCGCCUAUGAAGAGAUGGGAUGCUUUGCACUGUAAACGAUUGCAGGCGACCAUGAUCCCAGAUGGAAAGCAUUGCAGGCUGAUCAUCAAACAAUGAAAUUAAAUAUAUGAUGAUGUAGAGCUAAUAAUGAAAAAGAAAAUAUAUAGAAAAAAAAAGGGAGUUUGAUUACUUGAGAUGAGUGGGUGUGCAGCUACAUCUGAUGCAGUUAUUGGCAGUGAGAGCAUAGGAGCCAUUUGCAACUAUUAGGCUUUCGUUGUACCACCUGAGAUUUGCUGAUGAACAUGCUGCACAUACACCAUCAAGCUACUCAAAAUGGUAUUCACAAUCACCAAGUAAUUUAUACACAUGUUGUGAAAAUGGUUUAAGAGACCGGUGGUAAUUUGUGUCGGUACUUCGUGUUUGUGUCUUGUCAAAGAGUAAGUAUUUUAAUUAUUAAAUAGGUAAUAUGUUGUGUCGUCAAUUUAAUCUAUUUAACGAUCAGAUCAUCUUAUCAUAUAAUUAUAUAAUUAAUGUCUUAACUAGAUAUGCUUUUACUUCAAUUUAUUGAUAUUUUCGUUAGACGAUACAUUUUACUUAUAUAUCGUAUCGAUCUUCUCCGAUACACGAUAUCUCCCAAUAUUUUUGUCAUUGGUUAUAAGUAUAUAAUUUAUAUAAUAUUAAAAUUUUUUAAAUUAAGAAUAUAUAUAAUUAAAAAACUUAAUAACAUUUUAUUUUUUAUUUUUUAAAUUAUUAAAUUAAAUGAUAAAGAUAAAUAUAAAUGUAUUAAAUAUUAUUAAUUUAAAUAUAUAAAAUACUUAUAAUAUUUAAGUAUAAAUAUAUAUUUGAGAUAAAAUAAAAUUUUAUCAUUUAAUUUUAUUUACAUGUCAAAAAUUAUAUAUUCUAUUAUUUUAUAAUUUUAAAAAUUAUUAUAUUAUUUUAUACUUCAUUAAAAAAAUAAACAGGGAGUUAAAUAUUUACAACUUAGUAAUUUUCUUCAAUAGUUUCCCAAAUUAAGACUUGAUUGACAGAACAUCACUUAUUUCUAGUAUCCUAUCCCCACCUAAGGAGACAAAAAAGGUAAAGACAAAGGUGGGGUUAUGGGUUAUGACCCUUUUCAGAUUAUGGCCUGGUUGGUGUGUGACAGUAAUUGACCCUAAUUUUUCCUCCAAUCUGAGUAAAAUUAAACCCUCAACAAACAACCGAGAAGUAGUCCAAAAAUUUUAUGUAGCUCCAACGAGUCCAACCUACCAAAGAGCUCACGGGUUAUGCAAGGUGACCAAGGACAUAUAUACCAGUAAAAUCUACAGUUUUACUAUACCACUAGUAUAAAUGCGUGUAGUGAAAUCUAAAUUAUUGGACAUGACAUAAACAAAGGUAGAAGAUGUAGACAAUGUACAUGUUCCUUAUCUAAAUUAUUGGACAAUGACAUAAAGGUAGAAGAUGCACACAAUGUACACGUUCCUUAUACCGAAAAAACAAAGUCGUAUGUUUCCUCGUUGUUUCUUCCAUAUCUAAUAACUUAAGAUUUGUGAGGCAAUCGAUGGUUUAUGAUAGUCUUAAUUGUUAAUUAAUCAAAUUUAUCCUAGGUGUUAGGAAGUGUCCUAAAUUCCUAAUUAGUAUAGAUUCAUUUUUUGUAAAGAAUAUUAUAUAAAAUAUUUCUAGGUUAAUAUAUUAUUGUAAUAUUAGACUUCCUUAUAGAAUAAGGAAGGUUGUUGGAAAUAUUUUUAUAAAUAUUCUAGGUCAUAAGGGGAAAAAGUUAUGAGAUGGUGAUGGGCUUGUAGAGACUAUACGAGUUGGAUAGAGAUAUGAGGAAGAAUGGGAGGUACCCGAUGGAGCAAGAGGGCUCGUAGUAAGGUAUGGUGGGGAAACAUGAGAUAUUUUGAGAACCCAAUAAUUAUAUUUGGUUCUGUCCUCUGUAAUAUUCUCUAUUGUAUAGUGAAAUUAUUCUCUCUCAUCCGUGGAGGUAGGCAUGUAGGCAUGGUUGGUCGAACCACGUUAAAACCUCAUGUACCAUAUGUGUGAUUGUUUUAUCUUUGUGUUCUUAAACUAACAUUGUUGGCAUCAAAGUUUUCGUUGGCAUAACACUAGGCAAUUCGAAGAAGAACAAGCGUGUGAGAGUCUCAUAUAUCAUCAACAUAUCUACAAUUUUUGAGGAAAUUAAGGGCACAACAAUCCUAGGUUCCAGCAGAAAUUGGUGAUGAUAAUCGACUAACCUGGUAUUGGGAUAGCCAGAAUGUCUCCGGGGUUGAUCACCGGUUGGCCGAGGCCGUUAACCGCGGCCAAGUCAGUGACAGUAGUAUGAUAUCGAGCUCCAAUGCUGCCCAAGCUCUCCCCUCUCUGUACCACAUAUGACAUGUACACAGCAGUCGCACCGUUGUUUGUGUUACCAAAACAUGUGCAUGGCAAUGGAAUCACAAGGCUCUGCCCAUACCCAGCCCCUUUUCCUCCAUUAACGCUUCUUAUCUGAUCUGCACUCACAAGCCCCCCGUACCCCUCUGAUAUUAAAUCCAUCGUGUCAGCCGCUUUGACUGUGUAAGUAGUGGACAGAGAACGGCGAAUGCCGUCCACACAAGGACACAGGAUGGGGACUUUCACGAGUGAUUUUGCAGGGAUGAUUUGGCUUGCAGAGGAUGGCCUUGUUGGGUCCAUGGAGUUGGUAGCCAAGAUAUCAGAGAUGUUGACUUGGAAGCGUGAUGCAAUCUCAGAGAGCUUGGAGUCCCAAGGAAGAAGAUAGGAGAGAAGAGAGUUGCAGGAGUCUGAAGAACUGCACGGUUCAAUUACAGACUUUGCUUGCGUUAUGGAACCAAAAGAAAGUAAAGAAAGUAAAGAAAGAUGAAGAAGAAGAAGAAGAAGAAGACGGUGGAAUUGAUCUCUCAUUUCUUUCUUCUUUUUUUUCUCUGGAGUUGGGAGCCAGGUGGGUUGGCUGUGGCCUGUGAAGAAGACAAUAUAAUUAUCAGAAAGAUAGUUGGGAAGACACUGACAGAGACAAAAGCAGAGAAGAUGAUAAGGGGGUUGAAGGGAGGAUAGGACAAUGGAUACCCAUCUAACUCCUGAGAAGGUCAGCCAUGGAACCUAACAGUCAUUGGGGAUUACUGGCUUAGCAGGUAUCAUCACACUUCUCAAAAAGGUGAUAUAUAUGGUGAUAAUCAAGCCAACCGCCUUCUUAAUUGAAUGGGGCCUCUCUCCCCCUUUCUGGAAAUGCUUACAUAUCCCUCCAAGGGAUUCCAAGCUGUAGUUUAUAGCUUGCAGAACAUUACAAUUAAUGGUCAGUGUCCUAUUACAAUUGCCUGGGAUUUUUUCCUACAAAUGAGUGGAGUUUAGUAUGGUUGGUAGGUUGGAAUUAAUUUCUUUAAGGUGAAAUGAAACCUAAUCUUUGCAGAUUUUCUGAAAUAGUAACCCUAGUGUUUUGGAAAGUAUUGCCAUAUUCUUUUAGAUUUGCAGAGAUUCUUGCUGACUAAAGUUUAUUAGGAAUGGAUUGUAGAGCUGGAAGAUUGGUUAUUUUGUCAGGACAUUGACCAGUUAGGAAAUGACAAUAUUACCCUUUUGGUCUUCUUGGCAAAAAAUAAUGAAAAAAAAAAAAAAAAUCAUCUUUAUGGGGUGGAAAAACAACAUUAGACAUGAAUCCUCCUGAUUUUGGGUAAUUUUUUUGUUUUGGACUUUAUUUUGAAUUAAUUCAAAUAAUUUUCAUGAUUUAAAACCCAAAAAUAAACAUAAAUAUUUACUCCAUAUUUAUUUUUAUAAUAAUUAUAUAAUAAAAAAAUAAAAAUAUAUAAUUUUGGAAAUUAAAUAUUAUAAAUUUGUUUUCAUCUUAAAUAUAUCUUUUUACUUAUAUAUGUUAUUAUAAUGAUAAAUAUUAAUACAUUUAUAUUUAAUUUGAUAGUAUUUAAAUAUAAAAAUAAAAUAUUAUUAAGUUUUUUAAUUAUAAAUAUUUUUAAUUUGAUAUAAUAUAUAAAUAAUAUAUCUAAUAAUAUUUCUGUGUUUAAAAUUUUUUUCUUCAGCAUAACAUGCUAAAGUUAGGGGUUGGGGGGAACAACGGCAUUUGAUAAUCGACGGCCAAGCACAGAAUAUCCCCGCUCAUGAGAGGCGGCGAUCGUCGACUCCCUCCAUCCGUACACUAUCCGGCGACGUCUGGACGCAAACGCAAGCCCUCUGCCAUCCCGAAGCAAUGUCAUGAUCACGUAAAAAGGCAAAGAUUGGUUGUCAAAGAAGAAACCGUAACCCUAAUAGCCAACGGAGCUGACGAGCUGCCCACAUCAAACAGAUUCAGUUCAAUUCAAUGUUCACAACGACAGGAGAAGAAGCGGAAGAAGCUAAAAAGAAGACAAAAAUCAGCAACAACAGAGGCUCAUCGCAGAUGGGUUUUCUCUACUCGCGAUUUAUCCGAUUACAAAGGUUCGAGAUUCUAACUCAUUACAUGUGUAUCUUUUUAUUAAUUCAAUUUCUUGUAGUGGGUUUUAAGUGGUCCCAUGUGACAAUGGUUGUUGGUUCAAUUUUGAGUUUACGAGAAUUGUUCGUUUUUGAAAUGCAUAGUAAGGUGUUACAGAAGAUUGUCUUCAGUCUUGUUUGAAAAUUAAUUGAUAGGGCCGAGUAAUUGGGGUUGGGCUAAUUAUCUACAUUCAGUUCGUGGCCAAGUUUCAAUCCAGGGAUUGCUCCUAAUUGGUCUCAGGGGACUUUGUUGAUUGUGGGCCCAUGUGGGUCCAGUGGAGGCCAUGCGAAAGAAUCCUCUACACCUGACAAUUAUGGACUAAUUUGUAGGGAAAGCUCUCAUUUUGUGUCAAAGCAUGCAUAUAAGGACUUUCAAGAUGAUCAGUUUGAUCCUUUUCGAAUGAAGAUUUAAGUGCAUUAUUUAGCAUGUUUCAGCCUAUGUUAGUGCAAAAUUGAUUGUUUUAUAGACAAUGUUUCUUAUGGAAUUUGUGACUAGCCACUUAAAUAUAUAGACCGUGCUUUGGGAGGAAAGCCAAGAACUACUGAAUUGAUGAGUUACAAAAACUUGAAUGUUGGAGAGAGUGCAGUGACUUAAUGUAAUUCUACCUCCUAUCAGAAAUAAAUUAUCUGGAAUUCUGACUUAAUUCGAGUUCCUUUUUAGCAUUCCUGCUUUUGUGGCUGAGAGAUGGUAGAAAUUGCAGAAGAGUUUCCUAUGGGAAACUAUGGAUAGGAAAUAUCACUUAGUGGGUUGGAUAAAAUCGUGUGCUGUAAACAAUACAGUGGCCUGGGCUUAGGAGAUUGGUGACCUUUAAUGUAGCUUUCUUGAUUGAAUGAUUGUGGAGGUUUGCAGUAGAAAUGAGUAGUUUGUGAAGAUGUAAGUGGCUGGGAAGUACAGAGAGGAGUAUUGUUUGUAUUCUUUCAUUAGUAGAAAUCUGCAGAGGAUGGUCCUUUAGAGAGGGAUUAGGAAGGGGUGGGAAAUGUUCUUUAGACAGAUGUUUGUUGUAGUUAGGGAUGCAUAACAAGUCCAUUUUUGGGCAAGCACUUGGCUGAACACCAUGGGAGAUGGCAUUGAACUACUUUAGGGGUUCCCACAUUUACUCCAUUUGGCAGAACAAAGGAGGUUAUGGCGGAAAACUAUUUGAGCUGCUUGGGGGUGAGAAAUCUUGGACAUUUUGCUUUAUUACGGCUUUACAUAACUAUGAGGUGGAGGCAGAUGGGGUAAUUCUUUGUAGUGUUAUUUGUAGGAUGUGUUCUCAAAGUCAGAAAGGCAAUUCUAUCAGAGGGAAUGGAUUCUCUCUUUUUUUUGUAAUUGUGUAAUUAUACUUGUUUUCUAUGAUAGCCAUGUAUCCACAGUCAAAAAACAAAGUUCUAUUCAAAAUCCUUGGUUUAUCUAGUGUGUUUGACACAGGUUCACGCAUGCUGGAGCCAGUGAAGUUUCUUGGGUGGUAGCUAUUUGGCAAUCACUUUCAUGAAAAUUCUGUGUGUCGUCUUCAAGUUUGGUUGAUUGAACAAGUAAUAUAAGGAAACUUUUUGGGUUGAAGAUGGGUUCCAUUUUCUGUUUUUAGUCAUGGAUGCUAAUAAUAUUUUCAAAUCUUGCACAGCAUAGCUAAAUGUGAUAGACCUGUAUGAUUGAUUGGAUUAUUAUUAUUAUAUUUUUCAUGAUUUUAUUAGGUUUCUUGUACAUAACUUUUGCAUAACAUAAUGUCUCUGCUGAUAUAAUUGUAUCCUACCAACAUGUGUGAGAGAUUAAUAUUUUAAAAUAUGUUUGUGUUUAAUUAGGUUAUGUGGCCCAAGACUUUGUGAGAGUUGGUGACAGUUCACAUUAAAGUUUGGGGCAUAAGGGUGGGGUGGUGUGAGUCUGCAAGUUUAUGGGCUCUUUGGAAAGAAAAGAAUAUGAUACCUUUUUAAGGGUAAGACUAGGUAAACCAAAGCUAUGUGUAACAGGAUUAUCCACAUGGUGGCUUUUUUGCAUCUUAGCUGGAUCAGUUUAGUGGAACUCAUGUGAUAGACUUCAACAUGGGUUUGAAUUUUUUUUUCUUUGUUUGACUUGUGCUCAUUUUUUGUUGGUUUUGCCUUUAGUUGGAUUCAUGCAUUCCAUCCUAAGGAAUUUAAUGGGAAUACCUUUUCCUACCCACGUGAAGUCAGUCCUCCAAACGACUUUUUUAGUCUUAACUUUGAUGGUUGUUCUUUAGGAAGCACAGGUGAAAUCUGAACACAUUUUCUCUUUUAAGGGAUUCUUUUAGAAACUGUAUUAAUGUAAACUCUCCUGCUCUUUUAGAACUGUGAUUCUUACUUUUCUUUGCCUUUUUGUCAUGGAAAAACUUGUAGGGCUGAAUUCGGAGCUCUAAAUUGGUCUGAGAGAAGCUGAAAAAUUGGAUGUUUAACAACUGAGCAUGUUUGCCAGAAUGUUGUGAAAUGGAUCAAACAAGGAAAAGCAGGAUGUUGCAAUAUUUUUUUUAUUCCCCCUCCCCUCCUUUUUGAUAAUCACAUCUUGCUGAUCUUCUUAAGGAAGCAAGUGAUUUGUAAAUAACUGUGCAACCUAUCUUUUCUGUGGUUGCCAGAGAGUCAUGAUAACAAGGUUAAGUGUCUUUUCUUUAGAGGGUAUCUUGUGAAACACUACACCUUGUCAAGGGUUUCUAUUUGUCUUUGGGCAUUUUCUUAUCUUUAGUACUUAUGGGGAAUCUGGAAACCUCUUUUGUACUCUAUUCUCUUUCUCAGUUCAAUUUCCCAUGAAAUAUAUUCUUUCUAAAUUUUCAUUCUAUAGGAUUAUGCAUUGAACAUAGAUCUUGAAAUGAAGUAACUGUAAAUCAUAUAGGAAAAUUGCUCUUAUUUUAUCUGUGCAGUUUGAUCUUUCAUCUAGAUUACAAUGUUCAUCACACCUUUGCUCUAGCUAAACCUUUUCUUUCAUUCUGCAGAUAAGGUUGUUGUUGUUUCCUACAAUAUACUAGGUGUUGAAAAUGCAUCAAACCAUCCAGAUUUGUACUCUAAAGUCCCAACAAAAUUGUUGGAUUGGAACCGGCGAAGAAAGCUCAUUAAUAAGGAGAUCAAUCAGUAUAAUCCAAGCAUUCUUUGUUUUCAGGUAAGUGUCAGGAUGUUCUAUAAGCAUUUGAUGUGUGAAUUCUUUGUUCUAAGGAAGACUAGAGGAUGAAGAUAUUUGUCCUUUAGCAGAAGAUGAGGGCUUUGCAUUGAGUGUUAAGUAUCUGGGUUCUUUUUUGUUUUCUUCUCCCUUUCUCUCUCUCUCAGAUCCUUUCUCCAGUCCACUUUUUUUCAUCUGUGUCCAUGUGAUGUAUCUUGUUUGCUGAAGUUUCAUUUUGAUCACCUUAUGAUUCCUCUAUAUUGUUUCCCAAGCUUGAAAUUGCGUCUUGAUGUUUCUAAAUGUUAAUCAUCUUACUGGGGGUGGGGGCAUGUGCAUGUAUGCGUGCACCUGCUUGUGUUAAUCUAUGUUAUAGUUUUCCUGUGCUUAUGGAGAAUGAGUCACUGGAUAUAUGCAGUUGAAGUUUUUGCCAUUCAUUCUCAAUGAUUUUAAAGAGUGGAGCAUGUUGCAAAAUGUCUUGGAUGCGCUUGCAUUCUAAUAAUAUGCUCGCAUGGCUGCAGGAGGUUGACCGUUUCAAUGAUUUAAAUAAUCUUCUGAAAAAAGGGGGUUUUAAAGGAGUUUAUAAGGUAUAUCCUAGAUCUAAAAAAUCUUACAACAUAUAAUCUGACAUGACUACUAAUGUACGAUCUAAGUGCUGAUUUCCAAUUACCAUUUGCUCUAGGCUCGCACAGGUGAAGCAUAUGAUGGGUGUGCUAUGUUCUGGAAAGAUGAUCUGUAAGGUUUCUCAAGUCCAUUGAAAAUUGAAAACCCUUAUUAUGUUUCUGUAACAUGAUGAUAAAUGGAGUAGUAGAGUUAAUCAUGUUAAUUAUUGAUUCACUUGGAAUAUGAUUUAAUUAUUUGAAGCCCAGUGGUAGUGAUGAGGAAAACGUUAAUCAUCUUCUUAUUCAUUGUACAGUGGCUAGUGUGUUGUGGGGGAUUGUUCUUAGUCUGUUUGGAGCCCAGUGGGUCUUUCCAGAAACUGUAAAGGAGGCGGUUAUCAGCUGGAAGGGUUCUUUUGUGGGUAAAAAGAGGGAGAAAAUUUGGAGAUCCAUACCAUUAUUUAUUUUUUGGACGGUUUGGAAGGAGAGGAAUAGAUUAGCAUUCGGGGGGGGGGGGGGGGGGGUUAGCUAUACAGAAAGUUAAGAAUUCUUUUGUUUGUAAUAUGUGGGGGUGGGCAAAAUUGUAUAAUGGUGCGGAGCCUCGUUCUCUUAUAGGUUUCUUGGAGUGGAUAGCCUCCAGUUAAGGGUCGGUGGGUUUUUUUUGUUGUGAGGUCUUCGUCGCCUCAUAUACUCCCUGUAUGCUAUGCGGCGCUUUGCCUUUUGCUAAUAUUUGUGUUUAUUUAUCGAAAAAAAAAUGAUUUAAUUAUUUGAAGGUUCUUAUUUAUUUGCUUGGUAGAUCUUUCUCUAUGCCUGUUAAUGAAGAAUUUGAGUUGUAUUCUAGUUCCUUGGUAGCUGCAAUUGGAAAAAAGUUGGAUGUGGAAACAGGCAUCAUGAUUUUGUUUUUUAUGAGGAUGUUCAUUCAUAAAUUGAGUAUUCUAGUUCAAUAGCAGUGAGCAUUUUCUUUUUAUAAAUUAGUUCAUGUUUUGAUUCUUCAUUUAUUUUCAAUUUCCUCUUUUCUGAUACUUGACUUUUAGCAAAUCAUAUUUCUGAAUACAGCUUUACUCUUUUGCAUCAAGAGAACAUAGAGUUUCAAAAUUUUGGUCUCCGUCACAAUGUUGCUCAACUUUGUGUUUUGAAGGUAUGAAUGGUUGUUGAUAUUAAGAAUUAUGACUUCUAUAGCUUCUCUUUUCAGGUGCUUAUGGCUUUACUUCCUGGAGGCAUGUAUGUUAUAUUUUUAGUGCAUUUAUAGAAAAACUUAUCUGCUGAUUCCUGAUCAUUUUCAAGUAACUUGGUAACUUUUUUUUUUUUAAUUGAAUUACAAUCUACCAUGUAAAUAUCUUUUCUAAAAUUGCUCAUUUUCCCUGUUUCACCCUAUCUACUACCUCUGCAUGUGUGUUUGGGUUGUGAUAAAUGAACUAUAUGAAACUAAAAUAUCUUUUAGAUGUGAUUGCAUAUUCUAACAAUAUAUGGUCCCAACUUAAGAACAAGGAUUCUGAAAAGUGCCAAGGUUUGAUGAAGGAUAUAAUUGUACAUAGGCUUGAUGGUAAAGAAGGAUUUAGCUAGACCCAAGCAGUGGGAUUAAGGCUUUGUGGAGUUGAGAAUAAUCCAUCAAUCUAUACUCAAUAAAUGUUUGGGAGCACUCAAAUUAGGUAUAGAACUCUUGGUGUCAGAUCAAACUCCAAUCACCUUGUAGGGAAAUUAUCUAGUGAUAAAUUUGAAUUUGAAGUUCAAUAUGAGUCUCAGAAAGUUUUAAAUGCUUGACUUUGAUCAAACUUCUUCCAGUCUAUAAGUAGAAUUAUGUUGUCUUCUUAUAUAAAAGUUUACAAAAGUUUUAAGUCCAUUUACAUAGGCAAGAGUAUAUAAAAGUAACAGAUCUUUUGGGUACCCUUUCCUUGCAACCUACAAUUUUACCAACAAAGGCGAAUUGGCUCAUAACAUUUUGUGAGUUGCAUUUGUUUAGUUAUACUAUUUCUCUUUUUAUUUUGUGGAUAUUUCUUGAACUUUUGACAAUUUGUUUUUAAAUUGGUGAGCCACAUCAACUUGUUUAAGAUUUGAUUUUAAGAUGUCUACCUGAUUGGUUGAGGGACAUGUGCUUUUAGUCUGUCCAGCAUGAUGCCAAUAUUAUAACUUUUGUGUUUUCCACAUCUAUUGUUUUUAUAUUUCUUUGCCUACAUGCUUUGCUGCUGUGGAGAAGAUCACUCUUGCUUCCAACUUUUGACAUAUUUUCUUUCUCUUAGUUGACUUUUCUUUUUCUUGUAUAAUAAUUCUAUUUUCAUUUUUUUUUAAAAUCAGAUGAAUCGAAAUCAGUCCAAUUCCGAUGUAGAUACUAAAGCAUCACAGUAAGUUCUCACACAUGAUUUUCUUUUUCAAGUAACAAAAUUAUAUUAAUAAUGAAAAUGCAUUACAACAAAAGGAUGAGAGAUAUCUAACAGAGGCUAAAGGAGAAUAGAAAAAGAAAAAUGUGGUGGUAUAGAUUAAAUAAACACAAAGCAAUCCAACCACAAUUCAAGGGGGGCUGAAAACCCCCAUGAAGACAUCCAUGGACAUGGCACCCUUCUUGGUUAGCCUGUCAGCUGCUUUGAUCUAGGCUCCAAAACUCCAUGUCUGCUGAUAAGUUGGAAAUCUCUCUCACACCAAUGCUCCAGCAGUCUCUCUCUUGGAAGUUAAGCAAGAAAAUAACCAGCGAAGCAUCCCCUUACAUAAGAAGGUUCUUGAUCCUCAUAGAGAGCCUCUCUCAAGCAGCCCAAGAAAGCUAAAAUUCCCACCUUGAUGCCGAAACCAAAAUCAGCUAACUUCAAGAAAUCCCCACAUGAUAUUACGAUCAUACUUGUCAUUUCUUUUCCAGCCAUGCCUUGCAUGCUAUAGCUGGAGUAGCACAAGGCUACUGCAAUAUGCUUCUUUUCUUGCCAAAGCCUUCAAAGGAAACAAUCAUCAUAUCUGAUAUCCAUAGAGGUGACCGUUAAAUCCCUGCUUAGGAAAUAGUCAUCAUAAGAUCAGGGCUUUUUUAUAAUGCUAUUCUUCUCCUAUGAAAUCAAUUGUUUGUUUCCCAUCAGGGGGAAAAAAAUCAUCUGCAGUUUUUCCAUUAGCUAGGCAAGAAUACACCUUUCAAGACAUUAGAUUUUGUGAAUUCCAAUUUAAAAUAUGCCUUUGUUAUUGUUCUCAUUGGACCGAACUGAUAAACCUUUGUCAUUGUUCUGUCUGACUGAACUGAUAAACCUUUGUAAUUGCACUUAAUUCUUGUAGUUUUAGCUUUUUAUUUGUCUGGGGUGCUCAUGAAGCCAUGUCUUCUGUCAAGCCUCACCUUACAGAUGUAGGCCUUAUGCAUUGUGUGUUAGACUAAAAUGGGUUCUGAUUAUAACAUUAUAAGUUUUUUUUUUUUUCUUUUUGAUAGGUAAGUAGAGCUUGUAUUAGAAGAGCCUAGAAAUGAUGAAAACAGUACACACUAAGUAUACAAUCAGAACACCAAAAAAACUAGGCGAAGAAAACAAAAAACCUUUCCCCUAGCUAGACAUAUAGUCAUUCUAUAAAGUCAAUCAUAGACAAAGUAUGAUCCUCUAUAAACACCCUAACCCAAUUUACAAGAGUAUACAAAAAGGAAUGUUUUAAAGCUUGGUUCGACCGUUUGAUACCAUUGAAUGCUCUUUCAUUUCUUUCUAUAAGGUCCACAUUAAGCAUAAAGGGGCAGCCCUCCAAGUCUUCUCCCUUCUCUUACCCACAAAGGCACCAUGCCAACCAAGCAAAUUCCUUUUAAUUGAAGAAUGCAAAACCCACUGCACACCAAAAAAAGGAGAAAAUCAAACUCCAAAGCAUUGUAACCUUUUUACAAAACAAGAUUAAAUGAUCACUAGUUUCCUCUUUCUCUUUACACAAGUAGCACCUAUUCGGCAUAUUCCAUCCCCUCUUUUUGAGCUGAUCGAUGGUCGAAAUUCUUGUUCCCAGACACUUCCCAAGCAAAAACGCUCACCCUCAUAGGAGCCUAAGACCUCCAAAUAAGACCCCAAGGAAAAGGGUCACUAUAGGCCCUCAUGAGGGAGCAGUAGAGGGAUCUAACAAAGAAAAUGCCGUCCCUACUUUCUUUCCAACUCAAAGCAUCCUCCACUUCUCUUCUCACUACCAAAGGAUGCAAUUUUCAGAAUAAGCCCUCCAACUCUUCCAAUUUCCAAUCAUUAAAAUGCCUUGAGAAGUGAGGAUUCCAACAACCUGACUCCCCACUCCUCUCCCAAGCAUUUGACACCCAUUCAUCUUUGCUAACCGCCAAUCAAUAUAGGUUUAGGGAAUGCUUCUUUCAAUGUUUGGUCUUUACACCACAAGUCCUUCCAAAACUUGACCUUUCUCUCAUUCCCAACAAUAAAGCGAGAUCUACAACGAAUACCCUUCCAUUCUUUUCUAAUGGCUUUCCACACCCCCACACCAUAGCCUUCCCUUGCCACUCUCGAACACCACCCUCCUUCCUCUAACCCAAAUUUGUUGAUGAUGACUUGUUUCCAAAAGGACUUCCUCUUUACCGCAAAUCUCCAACUCCACUUCCCAAGUAAGACUUUGUUUAGAGCCACAAGUCUACAAAUUCCUAAGCCUCCCUCCUUCUUAUCAAUACAAACCAAGCUCCAAUUCCCCAAGUGAGUUUUUUUUUCUAAGGCAACACCACCCCACAAAAAGUCCCUUUGAAUCUUUUCAAGUCUUGCACACACCUUCCGCAGAAUAACAAAGAGAGAUAGGAAGCAAAUUGGAAGACUUGAUAAAGUACUUUUUAUCAAGGUGAGCCUCCUCCCCUUAAAGAGAUAUUGCCUUUCCCACAAAGACAAUCUUUUCCCGAAUCUCUCUUCCACUGCAUCCCACACCCUAGAAGAUUUGAAUGAGGCACCCAAAGGAAGUCCCAGAUAAGAAGUAGGGAACUUCCCAACUCUAUACCCCAUCAUUGAAACAACAUCUUCCAAAGACUCAAUCCUUCCUCUGGGGAUAACCUCACUUUUAUCUUUAUUCACUUUUAAAUUAGAGAUUGCCUUGAACCACAAAAACACUCAACUCAAGUAUCUCAGAUUUUCACUAUUGGCAUUGCAAAAAAUUAGAGUGUCGUCGACAAACAGGAGAUGGAGCAAGUCCUUCCCUUCCCCACCGCUUCUUCCCAUCUUAAACCCCCCAACGAAGCCCCCACAACUGGUUCUAGACAGCAGUUGACUGAGAGCCUCCAUGACCAAAAUGAAAAGAUAGGGAGAUAGUGAGUCACCUUGUCUCGAGCCCUUAGUGCUGUGGAAGAAGUCGGAAUGGGUUUCGUUGAUUAAAACUGAGAAGUUAGUGGUGGAGAUACACCACCUGAUCCAGCUAAUCCACCUUUCUUCAAACCUCAUAUUAGACUUGACAGCAAAAAGGAAGUCUCAGUUGACAUGGUCAAACGCCUUCUCAAUGUCCAAUUUUAGAAGGAGGCCAGGAUGUUGACCUUUAACCUAGAAUCCACAGCCUCAUUUGCAAUCAAGGCAGCGUCUAGAAUCUGUCUACCCCAAAUAAAGGCAUGCUGGUUGUAACGACCUGCUCCCAACCGUGUAGAUAUUGUCUGCUUUGAACCCAAAGGGAGCCCUCACGGCUUUAAAACGCGUCUACUUGGUUAAGAGGAGCCUCUACAUAUAUAGCGCCAGGAACUUUCUCCCCUAUCCGAUGUGGGACAUCACAAACACCCCCCCAUGCAGACACAACGUCCUCAUUGUGUCCCAUGGGAUUGUGGGGUCCAACAGACAAACACCCCUUACGGAACCAAACAAACCCUCACACCGGGGUCGGGGAUCGGCUCUGAUACCAUUUGUAACGACCCACUUCCAACCGUGUAGAUAUUGUCCGCUUUUGACCCAAAGGGAGUCCUCAUGGCUUUAAACGCGUCUAUUUAGUUAAGAGGAGCCUCUAUAUAUAUAGCGUCAUGAACUUUCUCCCCUAUCCGAUGUGGGACAUCACACUAGUUAUUUGAAACCAACAUCCCUACUAUUGACUUCAACCUAUUUGCUAGGACUUGGGCGAGAAGCUUGUAUAGUCCUCCAACCAUACUGAUCGGUCUAAAGUCUUUCAACCCUUCCGCACCCUUUUUUUUGGGAAUUAAAAGUAGUAAAGUGGAGUUUAAACCCCUCUAGAAUGUGCCAAGGCGAAAGAAAUCUUCGAAAAGAGCCAUAAUCUUAGUUUUAGUAAAAUCCCAGCAAAAGUCCUAGAACGCCAUGGUGAAGCCGUUUGGGCCUGGUGCUUUGUCACUAGAAAGGCUGGAAAGGGCUUCAAACACCUCUUUCUUCCAAAAAUGGCUCUUCUAAACUUCUAUACCUUUUUUCUCCCAGCACUCUAAACUGAAGACUCCCAAGACGCAGCCUCCAAUCCCCAUUUUUUAGUCAGUAGAGUCUGGUAAGUCCUGCACACCCCGACCUUGAUUUCUUCUUCGUCAAUCAGUGUAACCCCAUUAAUUUUCACCUUGGAUAAUAAAUUCCUUCUUGCCCUAGCAUUGGCCAUCUUAUGAAAAAACCUGGUGUUUUUUUCGUCUUCCUUUAACCAAAUUUCCCUAAAUUUUUGUCUCCAUGAAGCUUCUUCCAAUAAAGCCCAUUUUUUAUACUCCUCUAAAGCCUCUUUUCUAACCUCUGCCUCCUCGAUAGAAAGGGGAUUAACUCUCUCCUUGGAAUCCCAUAAUUGAACUCGAGAAAAGGCUUCUGAUUUCCUAAAAGGGACAUUGCUGAAAACUUCUUUAUUUGACACUCUAAGAUCUUUUUUAAGAGCUUUCAGCUUCUCAGCAAGGCAAUGACUACUACUCCCAACAACCGGAUACUUAAUCCACCACUUCCUCACUAACUCUUUGAAUCCAUCCGCUAACAACCACAUAUUCUCAAAACAGAAAGGGGUUUUGCCCUUUUUAACCCCUCCACCCCCUAGAGUGAUGGGACAGUGAUCAAAGGCAAUUCUGGGAAGAGUGCAUUGGAAGAUACCUGGAAAGUGGUCCUCCCACUCAUCGAAAACUAAAAAGCGAUCCAACCUUGAUGCAACUUGAGAGUUAGAGCCACCACACCACGUGAACAGGCCACUAGAAAGGGGUAAUCCUUCCAUCUCGGUUCCUCGAUGACUUCAAAGAACCUUCUCAUCUUUUCCGUCAAACUAAACUCAUUCCUCCUUUCCCCUGGAAAUCUAACAAAGUUGAAAUCCCCCCCCCCCCCCCCCCGUACACACCAGGGAUCGUCCCACAAACCUUUAAUUGCACCCAACUCAUCCCAAAAGUCCUUUUUUUCCCUUGAGAAGACUGGACCAUAGACACCAGUGAAUACCCAAACAAAACCAUCUUCCACAUUCCUAAAACGACCCGAGAUGGUGAAACCUCCACACUCCAGCUCCAGAAGAUCCAAAACUAUAUUGUCCCAAAAGAUCAAAAUGCCUUUGGAUGCUCUCCUAGCAUCAACUGCACCCCAAUCCAAAAACCUACCAACACCUAGACUUUUCACCACCUUUAAUGACAUCUCUUGCAUCUUUGUCUCAAUAAGACAAACCAAAUAUGCCUUCUGGGACCUAAUCACCAAUUUAAGCAGUUUACAUUUCUCCCUGUCAUUGAGCCCUCUAACAUUCCAAGAGAGGAUUUUGAUCUUCAUCAAUCCACCGAAAUUAGCUCCCAAUAGUUUAUGCCACUCCUUUUGGAUGCAAGUGCAGAAUCUCCAUAAUUGAUCGAACAAUCCAACCUCUUAAGCUCCCUUUUAGAGCGAGAAACGGGCACCGAUCUUCCUCCCUUUACAAGGGGUCCUACUACUAGCCUUCUUCCACAUCUUACUCAGCAACAAGUGGAUCUCUUUAUCACACCCCUCAAUCGGCAUUCCCAAAAAACUGCUAAACUCUUUGAACCUGGAGAGCUCCUUGUUGGAAAGCAAGCCCUCACCAAGAGAAACAUUUUCAGGGAAGACGACCUCUAAGCCAUCUGGCAAAACCAUAGACAGAGGCCCUUUCACAGCUUCAGCCCCUUUCUCGAACGCAUCGGGAGAAGCCAUCUCGGGGGAAUCACCCCUUACCUUCUCAAGAACACUCCCUCUAUAGUCCCCACCAACAAUAGCAAAACCCUAAGCCUAGAAGGAGAAGAAGGAGAAAAAGAAGAAUAAGGCCCUUCCCCUUAAGAAGUACAGGACGAAGAGAGCAUACCUUGGAAUUUGAGGACUUCUUCUAGAAGGACAUCAUCAGCUGAAGGCUUCAAAGUCACCACUGAAACCAUCAGAGUUGACGCGCAAGGAUUGGGGCCUUUAAAGGAGGCCAAUGCAGUCGACGAGCUACUAAGGUACCAAUCUGAAGGAAAAUAGCAAGGAAGAGGAGGAGAAAAUGAUCCAAAGACAAGCUUUUCCCCUCUCCUUAAAGGGCAGCCCCGACCCAAAUCUAAUUGGGCUUUAAAUAAAGAAGGCCUUUUAAGUUUAGCACCUUUCUCUGGGCCCAACAAAGUCUGGCCCAACACAGAAGAGCCCCCUCCAUUAAGCUCUAGCCCAUCACCUGUGGGGAGCAGACUGGUCUGUGCACUAGCAACUACUCCCAUCACAUCAAGGAUGGUGUCUUCUUCCCCUUUUGCAGAGAUCAGUGGAUCAUCCAAUGACACCAGGCUAAGCCCCCUUCACAAAAAGAACUUCAGCUACUCUCUGAGGGGCAUGUGACCCAUCCACGCCCUCAUCCCCUCCCCCCUUCCUUUGCAACACUGCAAGGGUUUCACCUCGCUCUUCCAUGGAGGAGUCUCCCACCACAGCUGGAUCGUGUAACUGGUGGAAACAACCACCACCUGCAGGGAACUGGGAAAGUUCCACCCUUUGGCUUUGACAAGAAUCCUAGCCCACAACAAAAACUUGCUUUCCGACGUAUCCUCAUCAACAGCCACAAGCUUCCCCCAAACUUUUGAACAGACUCUUCACCCAAAGAUGCAAAGGGAGACCCAGAAUUCUAACCCCACACCUCACAAAACUCCUUGUCCUUAGUGAGACACCCAACAAAGGGGUUCCACCAAUCCAAAAAGAGACUUUUUCCCCUAAACCACUUCACCCUUGUAUGAAGAACCCAUUCAGCUUUGCCAGUAUCUUCAAACUCAAAGAGGAUUAGGGGUCCUCCCAACAGAGCCAGGUGAAGAUUUCCUUUCAACCUCCAAACAGACUAAGCUUAGGGCUUAAGAGAGACGAGAUCAAAGAACGGGUCAGAGAGUCCCCCCCCCCCCCCCAUCUCCCCACCAAGCUCCUAUUCAGAACUUCCUCAUUACUGUCAAUCACUUCCUUUUCGAUUUCCAGCCACACCGCAUUACGAAGUUCAGCAGAGCUAGAAGUCUUUGCCUCUACCAUGGAGUACUCCUUCCCACCAGGGGCUUUAGGCUCUUCUCCCCUUUGGGCCAAGGAAAAACCCAAACUUCUCAACUUUCCAGCCAAGAGUUUCCAUCCCCCAACCACACCCCUUCCUUCGGGAAACACCAAGGAGAAUCUCUUGCCUUCCACAUCCCAAGCUGUGCAAAACAGAAAACGUCCUGCCUUGUUACUGCACAACUCCAACUGGUACCUUCUGCCCCCCUCCGCCCAAGAUUUUCUGAAACGAUCCCCUAUCUUGAGACUGUUGCAGGUCUCAGCCCCUUCCAACAGGAAGGCCAAACCUUUACCAC
This 85687-nucleotide long non-coding RNA is filed under the name Vitis vinifera (wine grape). Its description in RNAcentral is "long non-coding RNA (VVIN_LNC005659)". The record is from RNAcentral. Lineage: Eukaryota; Viridiplantae; Streptophyta; Magnoliopsida; Vitales; Vitaceae.